This 52746-nucleotide long non-coding RNA is filed under the name Vitis vinifera (wine grape). Its description in RNAcentral is "long non-coding RNA (VVIN_LNC006958)". Lineage: Eukaryota; Viridiplantae; Streptophyta; Magnoliopsida; Vitales; Vitaceae. The record is from RNAcentral.
UGGCUCUUUUGACGCUUUCUUCAAACCUUUUUUUCACUUUUACAAGACUGCAACCUACAAGCCGCUUCUGCCGUGGAAAAUCGCAGGGUGUUCGCAUUUCUGGUCCAGUCCAAUGCACGGGUGGGGCUAAAACUAGUAGCCAAACAGCUGUGAUUGUGAGGCGAACUGCAAACUUCCAACCUUCAAUUUGGGAUUAUGAUUAUAUCCAGUCACUAACGAGUGAUUAUGUGGUAGGUGUUAGCUUUUAGUACUAUUGUUCAUUAAUGGACUCAACUUGAUUUUUUGAGGGAUAUAGUGUCUUAUAUGCAGGGACAAACGUACACAAGACAAUUGGAGAAGCUUAAGGGAGAUGUAAAGAUGAUGCUUGGCGAAGCCGAGAAACUUUUGCAUCAACUGGAGCUAAUUGAUACCUUGCAAAGGCUUGGAAUACACUAUCACUUUGGGGAAGAAAUAAGGAGGAUAUUGCAUGGCAUAUACAACAACUACAAUAGGAAUGAAGAUUUUCUAGCAUCUUUUUAGGAACCUUUCUCACCAAACUAAAUAGGAAAAAUAUUAAUAAAUCUGAGAGAAUAAUUGUGACAGAUGAGAGAAUGCAGAUCAGAAUUACAAAUCCAUUCCAUUUAUUAAAAAUAUAAAUGGGAAUAAAAAUUUUAUUUUCAUGUAAAUCAAAGCUUAUCCUUAUUAAUUUUGAUUCUUAGUUGUUUUUGUUGGAGUAAUAGCAUUGAAAGAAGGAUAAAAACAAUUACCUAAAGAAAGAUAAAUAAUUAAUUAAAAAGAAUUUAAAGUUUUAUUGUCUUUCAUCACUCUUUUCUAAAUAUUAUACAAUAUUUUAUUUAUAAAUACUCAUGGCUAACUAUAGGCGCAAAUUUAUGAAAUCCUACAGAAAAUAAAUAAAAUAAAAUAAAACAACAAAAAAAAAUGCCAAUAAAAUUAUUUGUAUUAGAAUAAUGCGAGGUACAGUUCUCCAUGCUCUUUAUGAAUACUAUUUUUCUAUAAUUUGAUUGUCCAGAUCAUAAUCCAGAUGACGAUGAUGUGCAUAUUUCCUUGGGAUCGAAGUUUAAUAUUAACGGUCUUGUAUGGCUUAUUUCCGGUGACUUUGUUGACUUUUUUAUGAUGAUUGAGAGCACAUCUAUACAUUGCGUGUUCCAUGAAUUUGUCAUCAUCAAGUGAUUUAUUAUUUGAUGAUUACAUAAUCUUGGAAGACUCAAUCUAGCCCCAAAACUAAAGAGAUCCAUUUUCACAUGAACUCUAAAAUGGUUCUCUGCUAGAAGUACAAUAGGACAAAGUAACCAUGGUGACAAAUUUAGAAAAAAAAACACAAUAUGGUAACCAAAGAGUCAAUGAAACAAAUGACUGAAUGGAACAAAUCAGUCACUUUAGAUGAUUAAGAAAAAGCUAGGAAAUGAUGAUUCAGUUCCUUUUUUAUUUUGCUCUUUUGGUAUAAUUUUAUAUUUGCCACGGUUAGGACCUAACCAUCUGAUACAAUUGAAUAAAAGCAACUAUCAAACCAGAAAUCUUUGACAACUUUCUAGACCAGGGGAAUGGGCUCAAUUAGUAACGAUAAUACACGAUCCUUGGUUUCUCGAUCUUGAACACCAUGCCCAUCUCCAUACUGGUACAUGCAUUGGGCCAUCCUAGCGAGGUUUAUUGCAAUUCCGAUAAAAGUCUGGGAGAAGGGAGAUUCCAUAACUCGAUCUUCAUUCAUCUUCUUCCAUGUCUCCCCAAUCAAGCAUUUUAUGUGUUCUCGAGCGUCUUCUUCAGAAGCACCAGUUUCAUGCAUGUAACAUUGUAUGGAUUUAGGAACAUCUCCUCGUUUUAGUUCAUCCUGAGGCAAUGAAUAAAAGAACCGUUAUAAUUUGUUGUUCAGUCUUGAAAUCAAAGCAAUCUUUACCGUACAUGUUAAUCAAAAUGAGAAAGAGAGGAAAAAUGCAUACCGAUGAAGUUCCAAGAUCAUCUGAAAGGCGUAAAAUGAUUGAUGACCAGCGGAUUAUAUUGCAAUAUUGCUCCACGCAUUCCAAAGCGUCCUCGGUUAUUGGAUUUGUAACAAAAAAGAACGCAUGAACUAGUAUUGUUGGUGCUGAUAUUGAAAUCCAUGCAUUACUAAGGUACUCUUGCAGGGUUGGUGUAUAUCGGGCGUGGUACCACUUCGCCUCCAGUAAGUAAGACUUACAUAAAUCUGCCCACUGAAGGAUUAAGAAUUGUAAAAUGAGUCCAUAAUAAACAGAAGACAGAAAAUUUCAUGAAAUUUAAUUCAAAGAGUACUGACACGAGUUUGGAAUCCAAAACAUUACCGCUUUUCUAAGAUAUGCGAUGAUGUGGGAACCUUGCUCCUUAAGAAGGUCAUAAGCCAUUUCAUUGGUCGAGUUGUAGAGAGCAAGGAAACAUAUCUUCAUAUAUUCUGGAAGUUGAUCCAUUGCAUUGAUAUCCCAUCUGAACAUAUAUGAAAACAAAAUAUUUGAGGUUUUAUUAUGCGGGUAUGUUGGAGUUAACAUGCAUAUAUCUGAAGUAUACAACAUAGAGGAGAUCCACUGCCACCAACCUGUCAACAGCAUCUGUAAAGAGUUCAAGUUCCUCCAAUGUUCCAUAAACGUCAUAAACAUCAUCUAUUGUUGUUAUCAGUGCAUUUACUUUCGUCAACAUUCUCCUACAAUAUCCAAACUGAGGCUCAAAUAUCACCCCCACAGUCCACAAGAAAUUCUCCAUCAACCUGUCCCUCGCAAAGCUCAGCUUUUCUCCAAGACGUGUGCUUCUCCACCACCUAUAAAAAUAUAAUGUCCACAGUAUUAGAAUAUGAUAAGUUGUAGUUGGUUAUGUCUGAAAUAAUAUAAUGUGAAUAUGCACAUUUGCUCUUACCUGGACGCAUACUUCAGAUCCUCUUGGUGCUUCGCUUGCACCAUAUUAUAAUCUAACUUUGCAAACUCAAGCAAGAUGGGGUUCAUGUCCUGUCUUCUCUCAUAUGCAUCUAUGAACCACCUUGCCUCUAACCUUAGCAUUCUCCAAUGCAGUGGAAGCUCCAAAGCAUGACUCACUAGUAUGGCAAGAUUUUCAUCUAUAUUUUGCCGCAGACAUCCUUCAAGAUGUUUUUUUGUGAAAUCCCUAGCUUCUUCCAAGAUACUUUCACCUUCUAUGGAAAGGUAGGAAGCUUCAUACAAACACAGAAUUCCCUGAAUAUCUUCAGAAAGGCAUGCCUUAAAGCCCCCCAUCUCAUCCUUGAAACUACUAAAAACAUCUGCAAUAAAAAAUGCUCAUUUUUUAGCAGUUAUAGAGACAAAGUCAAAUAAAGACGUUUACUGCUAGCAAAGAAUUAGUUAAGAUCUCUAAAAUGCCUUAGGAUGCAGUACUUCAUCUUUCUGUACCAAAAAUGAAGAUAUUACUGAUAUACCUUGAGGAAUGCUAUACCCAUUUUGUCUUAGAAUUCUAAAUUCAAGAGCUGUGGCAUGCAAAUUCUCUUUCUUCCACUUGUCAUCAAUGUUAUGAUUGCAGUAUAUGCUGUUCAACAGUCUCUUGAUUUCAUCUUCGAACUGGUAAGAUAUUCCAAGUCUUUGCAAGAGAUCGAUCAGCUCAAGUUGAUCCAAAGGCUUCUCCACCUUUCCCAGCAUCAUUUUCACCUCCCUCUUUAGUUGGUCGAAUCUUCCUAUGCAUGUUUCUCCCUGCACAUAUAACAACACAUUGAUAUGCAACAUCAAGCUAAAAAACGACUACAAACAUUGCUAAGAAUAAUGAAUAGCUACCGUAUAAUCACUUCUUAGUGACUGGACAUAGUCGUAGUCCCAAAUGGGAGCUUGGUAAUUUGCAGUUCGCCGUACAGUGGUUUCAUAAGAAGGUCUAUUGACAACCACGCAUUGUACCGGAUGAGCAGGCUUGCCACUAAUGGAUUUUCCCAUCCAAAAAUCCCUUCUAGGUGGCAGUAAGCUAUAACUUAGAAUAGAGGUUGAAGAAAGCAUGAAAAGAGCCAUUGAGAAGAACUUAGCGAGAGCAAGCUGUAGAUGAUUGUUUGGGUUGUACUGGGUUCCACAUUGACAUCAAACUUCACCCUUUAUAUAGAACAUGAUAUAAGCAAGAGGCGUGCACAAGGUCAGUUGUUGAGCCUUGCCACCAAAUUCACAUGUAUAAUGUGUGUUUAUCGUUUAUUUAUUUUUUAUGCUGUAUUGUAUAUUCAAAUAUGGGGUGGUUGUUAGGAUCUUUCUAUUUAUCCUAAAAGUCGCAAUCUCUGCCGAUCACCAACCUUUGUUUAUAUAUUAAUUUGUCUUUAUUUCAGUGGAGCUCUCGGGAGGCGUCCAUAGAUUGAUUUAUAAAAUGACAUGUGUAAUAAGUGGGACUAAACUAGAUUCGGUGAUGAGAUCUUGUCAAGAAUUAAAAUAUCAAAUAUUACAAAAACAUGUCGGGAGUUGAAUUUAUGAAAAUAUCAGAAAAAAUUUUAGAGAAAAAAAUAUUAAUAUGAUAAAAAAAGGUAUUGGAAGCCUAGAUGAGUUGAACCAGUCCAAUCCAACAAAUUAUUUUUAAAAUAUUUAAAUCUUUAUACUGUCUAGAUUCUCAACAAAAAUGUCAAAAAACAUGUCUACAUUCUGUAAUGAGAUCUUAUCAAGAAUUAAAAUAUCAAAUAUUACAUAAAAUAUCAAAUAUUACAAAAACAUGUCCGUGGUUGAAUUUACGAAAAUGUCAAAAAAAAAAAUUAGAGAAAAAAAUAUUAGUAAAAUAAAAUUGAUCAAAAAUGCAUUUGUUCGAGUUUGGAUGCUCAGAUGAGUUGACCUAGUCCAAUCCAACAAAAAUUGAGAAUUGAGGGAGUUAAAACCAUAUGGAAACUCCCAUUAUGUAAUCAUAAAAAAGAAAAAGAAAAAAACACGUUCUCUCUCUCACUCUCUUUCUCUCUCUUUAAGAAAAGCAUAAAAAAAACAUGUUUCUAUAAUAAGUUAUUUCUCUUGAAUUUAUUUGAGAAUGAAAGUUAAGACAUUUGUGUUGUAGAAAUAGAGUGAUUAUUAAUUUAUGUAAUUUCAUUUAUGACUUGGGAUAGAGAAUUCGAUAAUGAAACAAUCAAUCUAAAUUUUGGGCAUUUCAAAAGGCAAUCCGAAGCCUUAUUUCCAUCCGUAGUAACAAAAAAAAAAAAAAAAGCCUUUAAUAACUAGAAAACAAAUAACAAUACACUUAAUUAAAUUAUUUUAUUAAAUAAUUAUAUACAUAUAUAUAUAUAUAUAUAUAUAUAUAUGAUGAAAUUUAUAGUAUUUCAUGAAAAUAUUUAAAACUUGAUUUUAUUUGUAUAAAAAAGACAAAACAAAUCAUUGAGAAUAUUACAAGAAUGACUUCCUAUUUUUAAUUACCAGUCAAAUAAAAUAAUUCAAAUUUAUUAAUUCAUUAAAAUUAUAUUUCAAUAUUUAAUUUUUAUAUGAAAAUACAUAAAAUCAGUAUAUAUAAAAUAUUUAGAAUAUAUUUCAUAAGAGUAGCUUUGUCAAGUAGAAAUGGGUCAUACUACUGUAGAUUUUUAAUUCAGGAUCUAUAUUUAUUUGCACUUGUGAUGUAUAUAUUAUUGAUUGAAAGGACCAAUGCAAAAUGAACUCAUGCAUCCCUAGAAUAUCUCUUUUGACAAAUAUAUUGCUAAUUCGAUUUUAUAGAUAUAUCGGGAUAUAUUGAGGAAUAACGUGGAUAUUUUAACAUAAAAUAUUCAUAGGGUAAAAAUUAAUCAAAACUCAUGAGAAUAUUGAGAAAAACUCUAAAAAUGAUUGUAGACCCCCAUUAGGCGAAGGUUUUUGUUAUUUUAUUCUUCUGACCACCCCAAGAAUUAAGCUGCAUGAGGCGGCCAGAUGGGACAGAAAAGCAAGUAGAGAGACUUGCCAAGGAAGAUAGAAACAGGGGGAAGGACGGGAGUUUUUUUUUUGUGGGGGGGAGACAGGUCUUCUCGUUGCUGUAGAGAGGGGGGAACCAGAGCUGAGUAUUUUUCUGGGGAGAGAAUAGUGAGCGGCAUCCCAAGACACCGAGUCGAGAGGAGGUUUUCAGGUGCGGUUAUUGCAGUUUUCCCGUAUGUUUUCAUUUUUGACAUCUCUUAUAUCUCAUUCUCCGUGAUUUCCGCUCUGUUUCAUUUUGAUAUCUCUUAUAUCCCAUUCUCUGUGAUUUUCUGCUCUGCUUGUUGGGUUGCUAUACUUUAAGGUUUUUUUAGUUUAAUAUUUGAAGAACUGGCUGUUUUUUUUUUAAUAUCCUAGCCCAGCACUCUUGCCAAAUGUGCAGGGUAUUCCCCCACAUGCAUGCAUGCAUGGCUAUUUUAAACCUUCAAAUCUCACCACCCUCUCAAGAAUCUAUGCAAACCCGUCACCAUGCCAUUAAACCCAUUGCCUUCCAUCAUCUCCAUGCGUUCAUGGCUAUCAUGGACACUGCGGCCAUGGCGGAGGACCUCACAGCCACCAUGCACACAACGGAAAGUGGCCUCAUGGACGCGACAUCUGUUAUGGUGAGGGACGUCAUGGACUUGGGGGAGUAGCUCUCGGCGGCGCCGGUGGUGGCAGUUGUGGUCAUCCAGGUCUUGGAGGGGCACGACAAGGGACACACCGGCGGGGUAAAAAAAAUGCAAAUGGGGGGAAGGGCAGUGCAUUCACGAAGAUGGGUGUUAGUUGGGCCUAAGUUGGAUGGUGCAGCUCAAGCCCAUGAGUAACCUUUAAGAGCCUCUUUUCAUUUUAGGCCCAGCCCGAUGGUGAAAUUUCAUUGACUUUUGGGCUUGUUUAUGCACUUGGGCUUGGCCACUUUGGCAUGCAAUGGUCAGCCUUUAAGAGCCCCUUUCCAUUUUGGGCCCAGCCCAAUAGUGUAAUCUCAAUGCCCUUAGGCCUGUUUACGCACCUGUGCAUGGCCCCUUAUCCCACAUGACAAAUUUAAAAGUCUCAAAAUUUCAGUUUUCAGAUAAUUAAUCAUUGUUAUUUUAUUUACUUAAAUAUUUGUUUAUUUAAAAAUUCAACCUUCAAAUAAUGCUUCAAAAUUUCGAUCUUUAAAAUUCAAUUCCAAUUUCCGAAAAUUCUCAUACUCACUUUAAUUUAUUUAAUCACUAAUAUUUUAUUUAUUUAUUUUAAGAUUCUAUUUUAAACAAUUCUUUAAAAUUCCCGACUUUCAAAUUUAAUUUCUAAUUCCAAAAUUCCAAUAUUCACAUUAAUCUAUUUAAUUAUUAUUAUUUUGAUUAUUUAUUCUAAAAUUCCAUUUUAAACAAUUCGUUAAAAUUUCUGAUUUUCGAAUUAAAUUCAUAAUCCCAAAAAUUCUCAUAUUCUCAUUAAUUUAUUUAAUCAUUAGUAUUUUAUCUCCAUUUUAAAUCAAUUCUUUAAAACUUCAGAUUUACAAAUUAAAUUCCUAAUCCUGAAAAUUCUCAUAUUCACAUUAAGUUAAUCACUAAUAGUUUAUUUAUUCAUUCUAAAAUUCUAUUUCAAACAUUUCUUUAAAAUUUCCGACUUCCGAAUUUAAUUUCCAAUUUCAAAAAAAUUCCAAUAUUCCCAUUUAUUCAAUCAUUAUUUUCGUCCUUAUAUUAUUAUUCCAUUUAUUUAUUUAUUUAUUUUAAAAUUCGAUUUUUAAACAGUUUUUUCAAAGUUCCAAUUUCUGAACUUAAUUUCCGAUUUCCAAAAUUCUAAUUUCUUUCAAAUUUAAUAUCCAAAAUUUCAAAUCUUAAAUCUAAUUCUCAAGACUCCAAUCUUCAAAUAAUUUUCGAGACUCCAAUUUUCAAAUGAAUUUCAAAAAUCAAAUUUUCCCCUUGAACUGUUUUAUUUCCACUCGGGUUCUCAAAUAAACCUUCUAUUCUUCUUGGUUUUUAUAUAAGCAUUAAUGUGAUUCUCGCAAUUCCAAGAUAAUGGAAUUUGUGAGACUAAUUCAUGCAAAAAUAAAUCGGGCUUUGGUGGGGGCCUAACAUAUGUGAUUUCCUUAUGAUUGAUUGAUUGUUUGUUUGAUUUAAUUGUCAUGCAUGAUCGAUUUUAUUUUGCUCUAUUACAUGCUUGAAAUUAUUCCUUAAUUGUGCGCUAACCUCAUUUCUUGAUAGCGCUUUAUGGAUCACUGCCCAGGUACGCAUCCACACCCGCUCGGGUCAUUUUCUGUAUGCAUGUUUAGAUUCCCAUGUGUGCAUGAUCAUUCAGGAUAUUAAUUGAUUUACUCAUUAAUUGCCACGUCAGUUUCAUUUUAUUAGUAGAGACCCGACUUUAGGGACUUAGAGGGGUGCUAUGGUCUUUACCGUACCUUCCCAAUAAGUAACCUGACCCCCGAGCCCAAUCCGAUUUUUCGUAGACCACCUUUUCCAUAUAAGGAGUCAUACUUAGGGUUUUUCUUUCUUAUUUUGUUUGCCUUUUUAAAAAUAAAACAAAAAUAAGUGGCGAUUCCAAGUCAUUUUUUUCUUAAUCAAUAAAAUCAUUUUUCAAAAUAAAAAUCGAGCUCGCCAUCGAGUGGGAAACGCAUGAGUCGAAAUGCGGGGUCCACAAUGAUAUAAUAAGUUAUAUCAAAUAUUAUUUAAUAAUAAUAUCGUGACAUUUAAUUAUAAUAUGUUUAGUUUUAAAAUAUAUUUAAUAUUAAAGCUAUGAUCUAUUUAAUUUAAUUGUAAUUAAUGAUAUAAAAUAAAUAUUGAUAUAUGUAUAAUUUUUUUAAUAUUUAAUUAAUAUGUUAAUGAUAAAAAAAAUCUAUGAAGAAAAUUAUUAUAAUAAUUUUUAUAUUUUUGUUAAUCAAUUAAAUGAAAAAUGUUCAUUUAAUUAUAAAAUAGUUAUAAUUAAUUUAUUGAUUAAAAUAUAUUUUUAAUAUUUUGUUUUUAUGAUGACUUAUGGUCUAGUAUUCAUCUAAGGCCAAACUUUUGUCUUGAUUGCAAUCCCGAAAUAUUGGCGAAAACUCGGCAAAUGAAACUUUGCUAUUGAUUGCAUAUGGAAUGCUGUUCCAAAAGCUGCCGAAUACCAUAUUGAAAAAGAUGCCCCAUGCUGUACAUGUGUUUUUUGCACCCAAUACUUUAUUGAGUCAUUGAACGUGAUCAUAAUCUGGGCCCAGUCAUGAUUCACUCUGACCUUGUGUUAUUCCUAUCGCUAUCUUAAGGUGAGAAAAGAAAACUUGUUUUAAUAAUGAUGCUUAAUUAAUUUGAGUGUGAUGUGGGAGGAUCAUAUCAUUUCAGUGUUUAUCAAAGAUAAAGGUGAUUUUAAGUAGCUUUAUUGAUAUUAUUGAAUCAAUUAAAUUACCAAUUGUGUGAUUAGAAAGAAUCAUAAACCAUAGGAGAAACAAUAUCUGGGGUUCUUAUUAUGAUUACUUGAAAAAUAAAUAUAAUACGAAUAGAAUUGAAAUAGGUUUAUAAUCAAAGAAAAUAAAGAGGAAAAUAUUAAUUCAUCUAUACUCCUAAAUAAUAAUAAUAAUAAUUCUAAUAUAGAAAACAAAUAAUUAUAUAAUUGUAAAACAAAAAAACGCAUUUUUCAAAAUGAUAAUGAGUGAAGUGUCAAUCAAUUUUAAUAUAUUUGAUCUUUUCAUAAAGACAAAGUUGUGUAUAAUAAUCAAAAUAACACUUUUGUCAUCACAUUACAUAUGAGUGAAGCAAAAAAGAGAAAUACUCAUAUUAGCCGACUGACAUAGGAGUGAGAUAAGAAAAAGAAAUACCCACCUCAAGUGGUUGACAUAAAAGUGUGACAAGAAAGAGAAACACUCAUAUAAACAAAUAAACAAUGUAACCAAACUGCUUCAUUGGUGGUAGACAUCAUAUUAUGAUACUUAGCUUGUAUGGAAGAUCAAGAAAUGAUAGUCAAUUUCUUGCUCUUCUAAGAAAUAAGAGAAUCACCCUAAAAUAUAUAAAAUUUAGUGAUAGACUUGCAAUCUUUGGGAUCACUAGCCUAGUUAGCAUCAACAUAUGCAUGCAAUUCUAAAGAGGAAGUGGACAAAAGUAAAAGAUUUUUAAAUAAAACACCUCGGAGAUACUGUUGAAUAAGAAGAACAACAACCCAAGGAAUUGUAGUAAGAGAAGCAAUUUGACUAAUAAUGUUAACAACAUAAGCGAUGUUCAGAUAUGUAAUAGUAAGAUAGACUAAGUUGCCAACAAUAGUACAAUAUAAAGUAAGACUUGACAAAGGGUCAGUUACCAUUAAAAGAAGAAUAUUGAACAUUAACCUUCAGAGGAGUAUCAAUAGUCUUAGUAUUAGUAAGUCAAGCAUGAUCAAGAAUAUAGACUAUAUACUUAGAUUGUGAGAUAAGAUAACCUUUCAAAAAAGAAGCUACCCCAAUAUCCAAAAAGUAUCGUAAAGAAUGCAAAUCCUUCAUUUAAAAAAUUAAUAAUUAGCCUAAUCUAGAAACUUUGUUCACUACUCCUGUGCAACCUUGCAAAUUAUCAAAGCGCCCUUAUACAUAAGAGUGAACCUAGAGUCAAUUCAACCCUUAUAAACCAUGUCAUCAUGGUAUAUGAGCUUAGAGGAGGAACCAUUGGGACCCAUAGAAUUCUGAGGGAAUAUUGACUUGCUCAAAAUUCAAUUUUAAAAUUAAUUCAAUAUUUCACUAAAAAAAAUCAACUGCACUUUAUUAUCCUAUGUAAAUAAAAACGAUACGAAGUUUAGGUUUGUAACUUACUAUCCGCUAUAUGCAAACUCUUCAUGAAUUGAUAUUCAUAAUUUAACAAGGGAGUGUUAUCACCUAUCAAGAUUACCUCUCCAAUCCUUGAGUUACAAAUCUCACUUAUUUUGUGAUAAAAUGACAUACUCUAGUUCAUAAAGAGCAUAUGUCAAAUUCACUUAAGGAAUUAUUACAACGCCACAAAUUUCAUGAUCACAUGUCCUUUGGAUUACCUAAGAGGACAUAUUAUCUCAAUCUCAUGAGAUAUCAUGUUACCUCUAUUGAGAAUACAUGUUGCCACUAGCCUCCAUUAAUAAUGAGGGGAUAUUGACCACUUUAAGAUUUCAUUCAUAGGUUACAGCCUUCUAUUGAUUUUGGCAUAGACUUGAUAUCCUCUUAGAGUUGAGAAUCCAUACAGUAUAGUUGUUAGCAACUUAGAUCUAAGCAACGGAAGUAAUACUAAUUUAAAAAAAAAUGACCUUUUAAGAUUAAAGUAUUAGGAUACGAUAAGUUGUAUUUGGCUGUAUCUGAAAUAAUAUAAUGUGAAUAUGCACAUUUGCUCUUACCUGGAAGCAUACUUUAGAUCCUCCUGGUGCUUUGCUUGCACCAUAUUGUAAUCUAAUUUUGCAAACUCAAGCAAGAUGGGGUUCAUGUCCUGUGUUCUCUCAAAUGCAUCUAUGAACCACCUUGCCUCUAACCUUAGCAUUCUCCAAUGCAGUGGAAGCUCCAAAGCAUUGCUCACCAGUAUGGCAAGAUUUUCGUCUAUAUUUUGCUGUAGACAUGCUUCAAGAUGUUUUUUUGUGAAGCCCCUAGCUUCUUCUAAGGUACUUUCACAUUCUAUGGAAAGGUAGGAAGCUUCAUACAAACACAGAAUUCCCUGGAUAUCUUCAGAAAGGCAAGCCUUAAAGCCCCCAUCUCAUCCUUGAAACUACUAAAUACAUCUGCAAUAAAAAAUGCUCAUUUUUUAGCUGUUAUAGAGACAAAGUCAAAUAAAGACCUUUACUGCUAGCAAAGAAUUAGUUAAGAUCUCUAAAAUGCCUUAGGCUGCAGUACUUCAUCUUUCUGUACCAAAAAUGAAGAAAUUACUGAUACACCUUGAGGAAUGCAAUACCCAUGUUGUCUUAGAAUUCUAAAUUCAAGAGCUGUAGCAUGUAAAUUCUCUUUCUUCCACUCAUCAUCCAUGUUAUAAUUGCAGUAUAUGCUGUUCAACAGUCUCUUGAUUUCAUCCUCGAACUGGUAAGAUAUUCCAAGUCUUUGCGAGAGAUCGAUCAGCUCAAGUUGAUCCAAAGGCUUCUCCACCUUUCCCAGCAUCAUUUUCACCUCCCUCGUUAGUGUAUCAAAUCUUCCUAUGCAUGUUUUUCCCUGCACAUAUAACAAUAUAUUCAUAUGCAACAUCAAGCUAAAAAACGAUUAUAAACACAUUGCUAAGAAUAAUGAAUAGCUACCCUAUAAUCACUUCUUAGUGACUGGACAUAGUCGUAGUCCCAAAUGGGGGCUUGAUAAUUUGCAGUUCGCCCAAUAGCAGUUUCAUAAGAAGCUCUGUUGACAACUAUGCUUUGUACCGGAUGAGCAGCCUUGCCACUAAAGGAUUUUCGCAGCCAAAAAUCCCUUCUAGGUGGCAGUAUAGCAUUCCUGAGAACAGGGGGUUUAAGAAAGCGUGAAAAGAGCCAUUGAGGAGAACUUAGCAAGAGCGAGCUGUAGAUGAUUGUUUGGGUUGUACUGGAUUCCAUGGACAUCAAGCUCUACCCUUUAUAUAGAAUGUGAUAUAAGCAGGUGGUGUGCGAAAGGUCAGAUGUUUAGCCUUGCCACUAAAAUCGCAUGUACAAUACAUGUGUUUAUCCUCUACUUUUUUAUGUUGUAUUGUAUAUUCAAAUAUGGGGUGGUUCUUACACUCUUUUCUAUUUAUCUUAAAAGUUGCCAUCUCUGCCCAUAUGUGGCAAGAUCACCCCCUAGAUCGGAUCCGCACUAGUCAAUGUCACCAAAGUGAAAAUGCAGAAGCGGAAUUUCAAUAAUAUUUUAAUAGAAAGAUGUUUGAUGGCACAUGGAAUACUGUUUCAAAAGCUGCCGAAUACUUUAGUGAAAGCCAUGCCAGGUACAUACCUUAAGAAGAUUUUAUAUUGGGAGCAUGCUACCACACAAUUAAGUGUAAUAUCAUUAUUUAUUGAGUCAUUCAACGUGAUCAAGAUAUGGACAUGGGUCUAGGUAUGAUUACUUAACAUAAAAUAUUGGUAAGGCGAUUCACUAUGACUAAAUGUUAUCCCUGUCGCUACCUUAAGAAACGAGAACUUGUUCUAAUCAUGCUUAGAUUAAUUUGAGUGUGAUAUUGUAGGAGGAUUAGACCAUUUCAGUGUAUAUCCAAGACAAAGGUGACUUUAAGCAGCUUUAUUGAUAUUAUUGAAUUAAUUAAAUUACCAAUUGUGAGAUUAGAAAAAAUCAUAAACAAAGGGAGAAAAAAAAUCUAGGGUUCAUAUUAUGAUUACUUGAAAAAUAAGUACUACACAAAUUGGAUUUAAAUAGAUUUACAAUCAAAGAAAAUAAAAAGGAAAAUAUUAAUUCAUCCAUACUCUUAAAAAGAAAGAAAAUAAUUUUAAUGUAGAAAAUAAAUAACUCUAACAUCUCUAUGGGAACUUAUGAUGGAACUAGAAAAAGCUUCAAGAAUUUGUCAUACUCUCAAUCCUUCAUAUUUCAUGAGAAUAAACAUAUGUCAAGUUCAAAUUCUCGUAAAACUUGACUUGAAAAGUUAUCUUUUUCUUAUUCAUAGCUUCAUUCCUUUUGCAAUUACAUCUAUCCUUGUGCCAAUAAGUACGUUUAGUUGCAAAUAGAAUCUUAAUCAUCUUGUUACUCUUAACCUAAAAUACUAUACUUUAUUUCAAGAGUUAGACUUAAAUGAAUAAUAUUUAUUGCUCUUACUUCUAAUUCUUUUCAUCCAUAUAGCUCUCUAUUUUUAUUUUUUUUGCCUUAUAAUGCUUUGAGAAGUCCUUAUUGCUCCAAAAUACCUUUUAUAGUACUUUAUCAUAUACUAAAAUGUUUUUUCUAUUAAAGGGCUCAAUAUCAUAUUUUAAACUUGAUAUUGUUUUCAAAAUAAUUUUUCUCAUGAGCUUUUUCGCCAUGACUUUGAUACCACUUAUUGGAAAGAACAUAACACCCAAACAUAAUAGAAAAAAUAAAAUGAAAAAUAUAAAACAAAAUAUUUAUGUAGUUCGGUGUAAUCACAUGUCCAUGAAAAAAGAAAAUCAAAUUUAUUAUAUACUUCUAGAAUAUACACUCUAAACUCUUUGAAUUUUUUUCUAACCAAAACCCAACACACCCUUUGUUUAUCUCUGUUCACUCUUUUCUUACCCUUUUUUUUUUGUCUCUAUAAAUCCUAUAUUAAACCGUAUAUUUAUAAAGUCUUAUGGAUUAAUCCUAAAUCAAUAGUUUCCUAAAUCCGGUUAAACUUAUAAAGGUAAUUUGUUAAAAUACAAAUUUUAUAAAUAUUGACUUUCUUAAAAAUAAAAAUAAAUAACUUGAGCCAAAUCUAAACUAUUUUAAGUAGAAAUACACAGAAGGUAUGACAUGUUAAAAUCCCCUCACCUUUUUUUUUCUCAUCUUGGAAGUUCUAGUGAAGUAACAAAAUAGUCAAAUGUUUGGCCAUCUCCAUAUGGCUCUCUUCUAGUUUUGAUUUAUUACGGAGGCAUUAAUUAUUUCACAAAAUGAUUUUCAUGUAUUCAUACGUUUUUUACUAAUGAGCAUGAGGAUUAUGAUGUAAGGUUUCUCUUGUUAGUCCAUGUUUAAUAUGCAUUUUCAUUUUAAUAUUUAUGAAAAAGGAAAGGUUUUUCCUAUUUCUCACCUUAUAUAAGUAAUCGAUGUUUUGAAAAGUGAAAGAGAUCAAAAACUAAAGUACUUGGUCAUAGCUAAAAAUAAUUAUAAAACAUUAAAGUUAUAUAUAAAUAAUAAAAAACUUAAAGUUGUUUCAUUUUUUUUACCUUGAAUAUUUAUAUUUAAAUUAUAAUAAAAAUAAAUGUUUUGAUUUUUGAUAUUCUAGAUUCACUUUUCCCACUUCCGGAGUAUUAAAAUAAAAGGUAAUACUUUUUAAAAAUCCCUAAAUAUUACGUUUUAUUCAUAAACACUUUUGUUGUACUUAGAUCUAGAUUCAUAGGAAGAUUAGAUGUCUACAACCUUAUGAUCCAAGGCCAUAAUGGAUUUUUUUUGCAAGUAUUCCUACCACAAGGUCUAAGGUUUGGUGAAUAGUAUGUUUGAGAUUUGAUGUUAGUAUUGGAAGAUAUACUUAAGGUUGUGUUGGCUCAAGAUUUGAUGGGUUAAGAAGUAAACUUGAAAUUUUGUGUUGCCCUACGAAGCACACCUGAUGGGAUUAAGAUUUGGUAUAACUUAAACUACAUAAAGAGGAUUGAUUUAGAUUACAUUUGAUAGUAAUUCUAGAAAAUAUUUUAAACGUUUUUAAUUUUUUUAACACUUAAAUGAUACAAAAUUUUAAGUAUUAGAAAGAUUAAAAAUGCUUUCUAAAAUCAAUGUCAAACGAGUUCUUAGAGUCGGUUUGAUAGUAAUUAUAAAAAGUAUUUCUAAUUUUUUUUAUACUUAAAAGCUUUUAUUUUUUAAAUAUUAAAAAUAUUAAAAACACUUUAUAAAAUUAAUAUCAAACGCACUAUUAAUAUCAGUUGUAGUCAAAUGAUUUGUGGAUCAUAGUUCUAGGAAAUGAUUACUAGAGAAGGCCUUAGAUUUGGCCACUUGUGUAGUUUUCAACUAAACUCACAUGUUUCUAUGUGAGUUUAUUUAUUUAUUUAUUAUUAUUAUUAUUAUUAUUAUGUUGUUGUUGUAUCAUCGUAUAAUCAGAUAUGAGGUGUUUAUUACACUGUUAUUGUUUGUGCAUAAAGCUCUAUACAUUUAUUUGUUUUUGUUUUAGUGGAACUUUAAGGGGGUGUCCAUAAAUUCAUUUAUAGAAUGGAAUGUGUAAACAGUGGCUUUAUCCUUUAACUUUUUGCUUAUAAUAUAAGGUUGGUAUAAUUUUACUGAAGGUCAACCAUAUACAAGUGAUCACUAGCAUAUUUGACUCUCCAAUAAAUUAGAUUCAAUUCUUAUUACUUUCAUCUCUAAAUUAUUGAUUUGUGAAGUUUGAAUUAGUUUUAUUGCAACCAAACAUUUUUGUCUUCUAAUUUAUUUGAUUCCCAACAAAAUUAAAUUUAGAUUUCUAUGAAUUUAUCGUUCAAAAAAUGAAAAUAACAAUACCAAAAUCAUAAAAUUUGGAAGAUAUAUAUUUCACUGCAAAAUUUUAAAAUUCAAUCUUUUAUUGCACAACAAAAUUGAAAUAAUCGAUUCUAAUGAAUUUUUGUAAUUAAAACCUCAUGACAUAAUUUAAACUCUUCUAAAUAUCCACUAGAAUCAACAAUUUUAGUUCUUUUUGAAAAAUAAAAAUUAGAAUUUUAUAUUAUUUUUCCAAUUAAAAAAAUGUUAAGAAAUUAAUAUCAACAAUAAAACUCACAUUUAAUUCACAAAUCCAUAAAUCUGAAUAAAUUUUAAAUAGAAACAAAUGUUGAAUUAAAAAAUCUUCUAAUAUUUUCCUAGCAAUCAAAUAUAAUUGGAAAUUCCAAUUAUUGUCAAAUUACCAAUUUUCUAACUAAUAUUGUGAAGUAUCUAAAAAUAUGUUUUACUAUUCUUUUUUUUUUCAAUUGAUUAGUUUUCAAAUUAAAUUAAAAAAUAUGAUAAUUAAUUUUAUAUGUAUUUUUAACAUGAAAAAAAUAUUAUUGUACAUUCAUAAAUGAAUAAAGACAAACUAUUUAAGACUUAAUAAUAUUCAAUCAUUAAAAAAAAAUAAUGAUAUAAAUACUUAAUGAUAUUCAACUCUUUUUAGAUUUAAGUGAAACUCAAGUUUAUUCAUAUUUUAAAUAAAAAAUAAAUAAACACUGCCUAAGUUCCAUAUGAGAGGUGAAUGCAUUUAAGUGGGAUUUUAAUCCAUUUGAGCACUGCAAAAUAAGUUUACUAGUUUUAAUUAAAUUGAAAUUGAUUAAGCCAAUGCUAUGACUAGGUCAUACAAGUGUUAAAUCUGGUUUCUACUUCAAUUAAGUCUUAAAAAUUGAGGUGAGGUCUAUGCAUUAGUAUGAAGAGUUUAACACUUAAUUUGCAUUAAGUGUUCGAAACUAUAACACACCUCCACAUCAUAGUUUUAAUUUUGAGGAUUUGGGUUUGUUUUUAGGCUUUAGGCUUUAAUUGGAUUCUCCAUUUGAGUUUAGGCCUGAGUUUGGGUUCAUGUGCUCUACUCCUUGGGUUGUAAUUUGCCUCACUUGUGUUUGGGCCUUUAGACCAUUGCAUUUGAGCUUCUAUUAUUGAUAUUGGGCUCAUUGGAUUGGAGUUGGACAUUAGAUAUUCUUUUGGGCCAUCUUUUAUUUGAUUUUUGGGCCUAUUUUGCUUUUUCUCUUGGGUCUAGAGUAUUGAUUGUUUGAUUUGGGCUUCUGUUUUUUAUUUGUUUGGGCUUACGUACGACUGACUUUGGCUGUAUUUUUACUCUUUACAUGGGCCCAUCCGUGGACUGAGAUUUGCGAAAGAAAAAAAGGUUGGAAGCUAUAAAAGGGCCAAAAAAAAAAAAAAAAAACAAAAAAAAAACAAAAAAAAGAAGAAAAAACCAUAGGGCACAAGGGGUGGGCCCAUGUAUUUUUCUACUUUUUAAAAAUAAAAACCAUAAAAAUACUAUUUAAGAUAAAAUUACAAAAUCUUUUUAAAUAAAAUGGUAAAAUCCUUUUUCUUUAAUAAAGUUGUAUAACCUAUGAAUGAAAAUAGGAACCCUUUUUUAAAAAUCAUAUUUUUUUUAUAAAAUUAUAUAUAUACAUACAUACAUAUAUAUAUAUAUAUAUAUAUAUAUAUAUAUAUAUAUAUAUAUAUAUAUAUAUAUAUAUAUAUAUAUUCUUAAAAAAUAAUAAAAUUCAAAUUCUCUUUUCAACAAAAAUAGGGAUAAAAUCUCUCUUUUUUUAAAAUGUUUUCUUUAUAUAAUUUUGAAAUUGUUUUACUUAAAAAUAAUAAAUUUAUUAUUUUAAAAAAAAAUUGAAAUAAUUUGUAUCAAUUGUAGAGCUUUUAUUUUAUUUUAUUUUAUUUUAUUUAUAAAAUUGAAGAAAUUUCUUGAAAUAAAAUAAAGUUAAAAUUAUUUUGUAAUAUAACUUUUCUAAUAAAAUUAAAAAAAAAAUCACUUUUCUAAAAUUGGUAUAUGAUUGAAUAGCUAUACAAUUGACAAAAUUUUAGAAGACUUUUUAUGGGGAUGGAAAGAAAAUAUUUUAAAAUAGGAAAUUUUUUUUAUUAGAAUAUUACUUUGAAAAGAAAUUAGGAAAAAUUAAAGAUUUAGAAAACUAAUUUCAAGUCUCAUGACAAUGCAUGAACAUGUUUCACCUUAAAGCAAACGAUGUGUAAAUCAAAAUUAGUACUACUAAAUUGGUCAUCAAAAAAUUUGAAUUUGACAGGUGAUAUGCCAUAUACCUUAAACAUAUAUUAGACAAUUUAAGAGGUGACAUGGAGCAAAAUUUUGAAGGCUAAAAAAUCAAGUUUGAAAAUAAUAAUAAUAAUAUGUAGAUGCAAAAGAGAAUUAAAAAGGAAACAUGGUUUUUAUCAAUAAAUUUCUUAAAUGAAAGAAGGGAAUCAAAUUUCUUGCAUUGAGCAAUCAAAUUUAGGAAUAUGAAACUCAAUUCCCAUGUUCCGUGUAUAUGUAAAGGUUAUAUUUUUCAAUUCAAAUACGAUUUGAAAGCUAAAAUACAAGGGCCCUUACGAGUCACAUCAAGUACCAAUACAUGCCCUUCACCACCUUGAAGGGUCAACAAAGUCAUUACGGGGGUCUUUUGUGAAAGUAAAUCAAAUAUCAUACACAUUCUUUCCAGCAUCAUAAAAAAUCAAUAAAGUCACUUGGGAAUAAAUCAAUAAAAUCAAGAAUAGUAGUAGUAGGAAUAAAUCAAAUAUUAUACACAUUCUUUCCACCAUCAUACACAUUCUUUCUUAUUAAACUUCAAUCCCAAAAAAAUGCUUGUAUCAUUAUCUUUGGAUUAUAAUCUAAAUGAUCAAAUUAAAGAAAAAUAUUAUUUUGUAAAGAUUAUUAUCGCAAAAGAUUGUACCUCCCAUUAAUUUAAUACAAACAAUAUUGUUCAUAUAUUUUUCUUGUUAUUUUACUUACGACUUCAAAAAUGUAAAUAUAAUAUUAUUUAUUCAAUGAUCCAAAUUAAAUCAUUCAAUUAUACAUAUUCAGUCAUUUAAAUUCAUUUAUUAAAACCUUCAUAAAUCAUAGAGGACAAUAAUUCAAUGAAAAAAGGUCCAUGGAGAGACAUGAAUAUGGUGAUAAUAACUCCUAAUUUUGUCAUAUAGUACAUGACAUUUCAAAAGGCAAUGAUCGCUAAAUUGAUAAAAUCAUACGCUAAGUUAGUUCCAUAAUCUUGACCAAUUCCUAUAACUUAACCAACAUGCAAUCUAAUUUGUUACAUAGUAAAACAUGUGUGAGUUCCCAAUUUUACCCUUUUUACAUAGUUGAUCUACUAUCCUAAAAUAAAGAGCUUGAAUUCUAUUAGCAAACUUUCAGAUAUUUUUGAGUAAUUUGGAUCACUAAAAUAUUUGGGAUGUAUUUGGUUUUUUGCAUUGAACAAAAAAACUACAAUAAGUAAAUAAAUAAAAAGGAAAAAAAAUGAAUGAAUUCAUUUGAAUUGGUUAUAAGAACAAAAAAUAAGAAUAUUUUUUUGAAUAAAACAUGGAUGAUUUAGACAUAUAAGUUAAAAUAAUUAUCAAAUUAUAAAAAUGUUUUUUUAAAAAAUUUUAUUAAGAAAUAAUUCUUUUUGAACACUUUUACUUCUUUAUUUUGUAUUUCUUUAAAAAUAUCAUCUUUCCACUUAUUUUAUUUAUUUCAACAAAAAACAACUUAAAAAUCUCACACAAAAAAAAAAAAAGAAGAUAACUACAAAAGCCUUAACAAAAAAUACAACAAACAAUUGAAAGAUCUUGAAAAAAAGAAAGAAAUAUGAGAAAAUUGGGAUUGAUUUUUUAUCUAUUUAUGGGUUUGAACUUCAUUGAAAAAUUCACUAGAAGAAGGGAGAGGGCAUGGAGAGAACUAGGUAUAAAAAAUGAGAGAGACAAGAUAUUUAUAAGUAAAUUGAGUCAUGAAUGAUAUUAUAUGUGUUCUAAAAUAUUAUACAUAUUUAUAAUUUCUGAGGUCAAAAUGAUGAUGAUGAUGAUAAUAAUAAUAAUAAUAAUUGUUUCAAUAAGAUAUGCUCAAAAUAUUUGGUUCUAUUUAUUAAAUAAAGAAAUUAUAAUAAAUGAAAGAAAAUUAAUAAGAGGGUGUUUGAUAAAUGAUGAUUAAAUGUUCUAAUACCAACUUAAAUCACUGAAUUUAUUUAAUAAAAGAUAUUUAACUAAUCAUUUAAAACUAAACACUAACACCGUAAGUAAGGUGAUUUUUUUUAAAUCUAAUAAUUUUUUAUUUUUUAUUUAUAUAUUUUAAAAUAAAUAUUUUAUUGUUUAAGCCAUUUAUUUUUUUUAUUUAUGAAAUUUAUGUUUUUUUUUUAAAUAAAAAUUGGUUCCCUUACUUAAUGAUGAGGAGCUAUAAAAAAUACUCUAUGUUCAUCUACAAUUUCGACAAUUCUUAUAACUCAACUAACAUGUAAGUAACCAUCUCCAAACUAUCAAAUUACAUAAAUAUAUAAGCAAAUAUACUAAAUGGCAAAAAUGUUUCAAUUUUUAGUUUUAGAUUCUUAGAGCUAGUAUAAGAUAAACUAGUGCUAAUCUUUUGCUAAUUUUAACCCUUUUCCAUGGAAGAAAUAAUAAUAAUAAUAUACUUUUGAAUUUUCUAAAUUUAUCUUUGAAAUGCUUGGCCCAAUAAUUUUGAUAUUUUCAAACAUUUGACUAAAUUCAAAUGGAUUACUUUUUUUUUUUUUUCAACUCAUGUAAAUCACUUUAGAAAAUAAAGUUUGACUUAAUGCAACAUUAUUUUUAAAAUAAAUUGUUGUUGAAAAAGAAAAAUAUUUUGGUCUUAGUUUUUGUGUACCAUGAUGAUAACUCCUAAUUUUGUCAUUAAGUACAUCAUCUUUCCUUGCACAUUAUCAUGAGAACUCCUAAUUUCUUCAUAUGGUAUAUCGUAUUUCAAAGAAUUCCUAGUUGUACCUUUUUAAUACGGUACACCAUUAACUUUCACAAUUUAUCUACAUGUUACAAUAUUUUUCCUAAUUUUUACCUUUUCCAUGGAAUAAAUAAUAAUAAUAUGCUUUUACAUGUUCUAAUUGUACCUUUGAAAUGCUUUGCCUAAUAAUUUUGAUAUUUUCAAAAGUUUGACUAAAUUCAAAUAGAUUACUUUUUUUCUUAUUUUUUUCAACUCAUAUAAAUCAUUUUAGAAAACGAAGUGUAACUCAAUGUAACAUUAUUUUCAAAAUAAUUAUUUUCUCUUGAAAAAGACAUAUUUUGGGCCUUAGUUUUUGUAUACCAUCAUGAUAACUCCUAAUUUUGUCAUACAUAGUACAUCAUAUUUUCUUGCAUAUUCUCAUGAUAAUUCCUAAUUCCUUCCUGUGGUAUAUCGCAUUUUAAAGAAUUCCUAGUUGUACCUUCUUCAUAGGGUAUGUCAUUAACUUUCACAAUCUAUCCCAUGUUACAGUAUUUUUGCUAAUUUUUACCUUUUUCCAUGGAAGAAACAAUAAUAAUAUGCUUUUGGAUCUUCUAAUUGUAUCUUUGAAAUGCUUCUCUCAAUAAUUUUGAUAUUUUCAAAAGUUUGAUUUAAUUCAAAUAGACUAUUUUUCACUUUUUUUUUCAACUCCUAUAAAUCAUUUUAGAAAAUAAAAUGUAACUCAAUGUAACAUUAUUUUCAAAAUAAUUUGUUCUUAAAAAAGAUAGAUAUUUUGGGCUUUAGUUUUUGUGUACCAUAACUUUUAAUAGCGUACACAACUUUCGUAUUUCUUUGCAUACUGUGAUGAAAACUCUUAAUUUCUUUACAUGAUACAUCAUUUCUCAAAAGAAUUGAUACCUACACACUCUUAAUUAUAUAAUUCUUAUAAUGAUGAGAUUUUGAAGUUGAAAGAGUAUUGGGUAUAAAAAUUUUAAUUACUUAUACUUAUUUUUUAAAUAAAGAAUGCUUAAAACAUAAUUAGAAGCAACGAUAACAAUAUUUUUUAUAAUAAUAACAUGCAAAAUUGUAUGAUAAAGUUAAGAUUAACCACUCCACUCAAAUAGUGCAUGCUUUUAGUCCCUUAAUAAGUUAUUAAAAUCAAUAAUGUUUUCAGAAUUGACCCAUUACUAAAUUGAAAAAGUUACCAGAACGAGUCCAUGACUCAUUGUUUGGAUUGGUGAUUGAAUCACGAUCAAAUAGAUAACAUCCUAAAUAUAUAAUAUAAAUAUAUUAUUAAAUGAAUAAAAUGAUUCAAAUCAAAAUUCAAAAUUUCUAAAUAUAUAAUAUAAAUAUAUUAUUAAAUGAAUAAAAUGAUUCAAAUCAAAAUUCAAAAUUUUAAAGUCAUAAAUAUAAAACGACAAAUUUAAGUAUUUGAAUUUAUUUGAAAGUUAGAAAUAUAUUUGAUAAUAAAAAAUCUAUUUGAAAAUAAGAUAUUUAUUUUAAAUAAAAAAUUUUAAAAUUUAUUUUUAGAUGAUAUAAUGAUUCAAAUCAAAAUUUAAAAAUUUAAAAAUUAAAAUCAUAAACUAAAAUCACAUAUUUAAAAAAUAAGAAUUUGAAAAAUUAGAAAUUAAAAUUAAUGAUACAAAUAUAAAAUAAAAUAAUUAACCAAAUCAAAUAACAAAUGUUGAAAUAAUGGAUAGGGGAGGUUGGAGGGCACUUACAACUAUUUGAGUCGUUGGGGUCCUUGUUGUUCGUCAACAUCGUUGUUGGAGAAACUGUUGGCUAAUCGUUCAAUUCAUAAAGAACCACCUAGUUCAUCAGGUUCACCAGUUCGAUUGCUAAUUCCAUUGAUUUGAGGGUGAUUCAACAACUAAACAACUCAAAAGGGUAGACCAGAUUGGAAUGGUUGUUGGUCGAAUCAGUUGGACUUACAUGAUUGGUUCGACCCAAUUUUUAGAACAUUGGUAUAUAAUAAUUAGGUUUUCAAAAAAUGUUAUAUAAUUAGUUUAAAGUUAGAUUUGUAAAAGGAAUCAUUUUUAGAUUUAAGUUGUUUUAUUAUCAAAUUUACCACUUAAACCUAAGAUCAUAUCAAAUAUUUUUCUAUUUUAAUAAUUUAGUUGCUUGAUCAAAUCCAUGAACUUUAUGUACACAAGUGUGAAUCAAUUCAAAUAAAAAGAAUAUGGUUAAGUGCUUAAUAAUAGUUUGACAUUCACUUUUCCAAUAAUUUAAUAUUCAAACAACUUUCUAUCCUUUAAAAUAGAAAAUUAUUUUCUAGACACAAAAAUAUGUUUGAUAAUUUUUUAAAAACUUAUUAUGGAAAUAAGAUUUUUUUUAAAGAACAUAUUUUAAUUAUAAUAAUCAAUCAUUUUUUAGGAGACAUUUCAAAAAAUAAUUACAUGAGAAUAAUUAAAAAUAAAUUACCAUAGAUAAAAAAAUAUUUUAAAACAUAUUUAGAAACAUAGAAAACAAGUUUAGAACAUUCCUUAUUUCUAAACAUACUUUUGCUUUAAUUUAUUUUUUAUUUAAUUUAACUUUCUUUUUUCCAUGAAUGUUCACUUUUACUAUGCAUAUAUUUGUUCCCUUCUUUUAAAGCAUAUUUGAAACUAUUUGAAUAGUUUUCUAUUCUUAAAAGUUGUUACUUUCUUAAUAACUUGUUCUAAAAACAAGAAACUUGUUUUGAAAAUAAGAUUUUUUUUCUUUCUAAAAACAUGUUUUAAUUAAGUUGUUUUCAAGGAGAUGUUUUAAAAAAAUAAUUAUAUAAAUAUAGAGAAUUAUUAAAAAUAAAUUAUUAUAGGUAAAAGUUAUUCUUAAGAAAUAUUUUUGUUUUUUAAAAAAAAAAACAUUUCAGAUCUUCAAACAUAUCUUUAUUUUAAACAUACGGAAAAACUACUUUUGAAAACUUUAGUAAACAUACCUUUUAAAAAAAUUUCAUUCAUAUGAUGUCCUUUAUAUUAGUCUCUUUUUGAAUAUUUUAUUCUAUGAAGAGAUUAUUAUGACCCCAUCAAUACAAUAUGCUUUGAGACUCUUAUUGCAUGCAAGGCGACAAGCUGGGUAUACUUUGUACAAUCUCACGAAAAUUUGGCUUGGAAAAAAUCUUACUAGCAUUAUUGCAAAUUUGACAUAAUACUACUGCUUAAUCUUACAGCAAACUUGGGAGCACAUGGCCACAAAUUCUAUAUAUAGCUGCUGGCAAUGUGAUCCAGCUUGUCCCACUCCAAUGGCUCUUCUGACGCUUUCUUCAAACCCUUAUUUCACUUUUACAAGACUGCAACCUACAAGCCGCUUCUGCCAUGGAAAAUCGCAGGGUGUUUGCAUUUCUGGUCUAGUCCAAUGCACGGGUGGGGCUAAAACUAGUAGCCAAACAGCCGUGAUUGUGAGGCGAACUGCAAACUUCCAACCUUCAAUUUUGGAUUAUGAUUAUAUCCCGUCACUAACGAGUGAUUAUGUAGUAUGUGCUAGCUUUUAGUACUAUUGUUCAUUAAUGGACUCAACUCGAUUUUUUGAGGGAUAUAGUGUCUUAUAUGCAGGGACAAACGUACACAAGACAAUUGGAGAAGCUUAAGGGAGAUGUAAAGAUGAUGCUUGGCGAAGCCGAGAAACCUUUGCAUCAACUGGAGCUAAUUGAUACCUUGCAAAGGCUUGGAAUACACUAUCACUUUGGGGAAGAAAUAAAGAGAGAAUAUUGCAUGGCAUAUACAACUACAAUAGGAAUGAUACAUGGAAAAAUGGAGAUUUAUAUGCCACAGCUCUUGAAUUUAGACUCCUAAGACAGCAUGGCUACCAUGUUCCUCAAGGUAUUAGAAACUACCGAGUCCUAGGUUUAAAUUUAGUCUUCACUACUGUUUUAAUAAUUUAGUCUUCACUACACGAUCUACCAGGUAAAACAGCAUAUAUAGGAAGCACUAGAUCAAUUAGUUGCCUAGUGAGAAUAGCAUAAGGAGCACACGAUUUUUGGGAUUUUAUAAAUUCUGUGCAACAUAUUUAUACUUUAGCAUAAUUAUUGUCAUAUUGAAUGUUGCAGAUGUUUUCCAUAUUUUCAUAAACAAGAUGGGGACUGUUAAGCCAUGGCUUAAUGAAGAUAUCAAGGGAAUUCUAUGCUUGUAUGAAGCUUCAUAUCUUUCCGUAGAAGGUGAAAAUAUCCUAGAAGAGGCUAGAGAUGUCACAAGAAAUUCUCUUGAAGAAUACCUCAAGAGGACUGUAGAUCAAAAUGAUCUUACCAUGAUAAUAAACCAUGCCAUGGAGCUUCCGCUGCACUGGAGAAUGCCAAGGUUAGAGGCAAGAUGGUUCAUAGAUGCAUAUGAGAGAAGCCAGGGAAUGAAUCCCAUUUUACUUGAGCUUGCUAAACUGGAUUAUAAUAUGGUGCAAGCAACAUACCAGGAGGAUCUAAAACAUGCAUCCAUGUAAGAGCAAGCAUAUUCUCAUUUUCAUGUAUACUACUUUAGCAGCUACAAAGUAUUAUCAAAUUCUAAUAUUGCUAUCCUCUCUUUUGGGCCUUAUAUAUGCAGGUGGUGGAGGAGCGCAGUCCUCCCAGAAAAAUUGAGCUUUGUUAGGGACAGAUUGGUGGAGAAUUUCCUUUGGACUGUGGGAUUUGUAUUUGAACCCCAGUUUGGAUAUUGCAGGAGAAUAUUGACAAGAGUGAAUUCGCUGAUAACAACAAUUGAUGAUGUUUAUGAUGUUUAUGAUGUUUAUGGGACAUUGGAUGAACUUGAGCUCUUUACGGAUGCUGUUGACAGGUUGGUGGUUUCUGUAUACUUCUUGUCCUUCUAAUUUAAUAGAGGUUGGGAAAUUAGUUUUGUUUCCACUGUCAGAUGGGAUAUCAAUGCAAUGGAGCAACUUCCACGAUACAUGAAGAUCUGUUUCCUUGCUCUCUACAACUUCACUAGUGAAAUGGCUUAUGAUGUUCUUAAAGAACAAGGUUUCCACAUCAUUCCAUAUCUCAGAAAAGCGGUAACAUUUCAGAUUGAAAAUUCAGUUAUCUUUCUAUAAUCAAAUUGACGAAAUAUCCUAUGCGAAAUAUGCUUUUGGCUCAUUACGUGAUUAAUUCUUCAGUGGGCAGAUUUAUGUAAAUCCUACUUGGUGGAGGCGAAAUGGUACCACGAAGGUUAUAUGCCAUCUCUACAGGAAUACAUGAACAAUGCCUGGAUUUCAAUGUCAUCUCCAGUAAUACUAGUUCAUGCCUAUUUUUCCAUCACAAAUCCAGUCACGAAGGAGGCCUUGGGAUGCUUCGAGAGAUACCACGAUAUAAUCCGUUGGUCAUCAAUAAUUUUCCGUUUUUCAGAUGAUCUUGGGACAUCAUCUGUAUGCAGCCUAAUUAUCAGAGAUUGCUUUGGUUUAUUUUCCAUACUAACAAUCCAUUAUUUAAUAAUAAUAAUACUGAUAUAUAUAUUUUUCUCUCAGGGUGAGUUAAAAAGAGGAGAUGCUCCUAAAUCCAUACAAUGUUACAUGCAUGAAACUGGUGCUUCUGAAGAUGAUGCCCGCAAAUACAUAGGCUUCUUGAUUGAUGAAACAUGGAAGAAGAUGAAUGAAGAUCGAAAUCUGAAUUCUCCCUUCCCCCAAACUUUUAUUGGAAUAGCAUUAAUGAACGUUGCUAGGAUGGCUCAAUGCAUGUAUCAGUAUGGAGACGGGUAUGGUGUUCAAGACCGUGAGACUAAGGAUCGCAUAAUGACGUUAUUCAUUGAACCUAUUUCCCUUACAUAGAGGAUCCAUGUCUUUCAGUCUGAGAUGUGACUGUGAUCUAAGCUUCUUAGGGUUUGGAUGUAGUAGAACUUGGUAAAUUUGUGCAAAGGAUAUUUCCCUGAAGUUCAAUGAACUUAUUUGGUUGGUUUGGUCUUAUGUUCCUCAGCUGUUAGACUGCUUUCUUGUGAGAUUCACCAUUAGGUAAAACAAUAGCAGAAAAAUCCACACAUACAUAAUCCAAGCAUCUUCUUGAAGGCCAUGGUUGAUAUUGAUGCAACUCUAUAGCUCCGAAUGUAGUGAUACAAUUAAUAUAUUCAAUGGUUUAAAUUAAUUUAUAAUAAUCUUCUAAAUCAGAGAGUACAAUUCAGUGAGAGUGUAUAAUAUAAUUAAAAAACAUGAGUGGAGAGAUAAUAUUUACUACUUAACGACUUAAGUUAACUUUAAGUCAAACUAUAUUCAAAUUGUUGAUUUAAAAAUUACUAAAUUUUUACUUUAAACAUUAAAAUUAUUUGAUAAAAUUAAUAUAAAAUAUAUUGUAAAUUAUCAAAUUAACAUAUUUAUUCUUAUAAAUUAUAACUAAAAUAAUAGAGGUUGAGUAACAGUAAAGGUACUUGAGUGGCAAAGAAGACCAUAAAGGUAAAUAAGACAAAUGAGGGUAAAAAUGUAAAAUAAAAAAUAUAAACUUAAGAAUAAAUUAAUUGAUUUUACUUAUUACUUAAAAUUGAUUUUAAUUUUAAAUCAUACUAUUAAGUUAUUUUUCAAAUACAUCUAAUUUAUUUAAUGAUUUAAAUUAAACUAUUAAGCCAUUUUAAGUUAACUGAUUUACCAAACACUAAUGCAAGACUGCUGGAUAUCUUUGAAAGAAUUGUCUUUGAAAAUGCUAUAUAUUUAGGUUUUAAAUUUUGUUAGUGUAAACCAAUGAUUCUUCCUAAUUUGUUCGUAUAGCACAUCACAUUUCGAAAAGCAAUAAUUAAUAUAGCCAUGGCAUUGUCAGUGCAGUACAUCAAUUCUCAACAAAUUCUUUACUAUUUAUUCAAUGGUUUAAAUUAAAGCAUCCGGGCAUAUUUAGUGUUUUAAAUUAAUUUAUUAUAAUCUUUGUAAACAACAUAAUACAAUUCAAUGAGGGGGAAUGGUAUAAUUAAAAAAAGUUGGUGGAAAGAUAGAAUAAAGGAAUGUUCGAUAAAACUUAUUAUUUAAUGACUUAAAUUAAUUUUAAGUAAAAUUAUGCUUAAAUUGUUAACUUAAAACUUAUUUCUUAAUUUUUAUUUUAAAUGUUAAAAUUGUUUGUUGAAAUUGAUUAAAAAUAUAUUUUAAAUUAUCAAAUUAAUUAAUAUUUAUCCUUAUAAAUUAUAAUUAGAGGAAAGGAGGUUAAGUAACAAUAGAGAUAGUGGAGUGUUAAAAGAGAUCGUAGAGGUAACUAAGAUAAAUAAAGAUAAAGAAAUAAAAUAAAAAUUUAUACUUAAGAAUAAAUUAAUUGGUUUUAUUUAUUAUUUAAAGUCAUUUAAUUUUUAACUUUAAGUUAUUUUCAAAUAUAUUUAAUUUAUUUAAUAACUUAAAUUAAGUUAUUAAGUUAUUUUAAGUUAUUAAAUUAAUUUAUCAAACACCUACUUAAGCUAAGCUAUUAAAUUAUUUCAAGUUAUUAAGUUGAUUUAUCAAACACCGAUAUGUGAUUAAAAAAUCAAGCCCUAUAAUACAUGGCAUUAUCCUUGAAAGAAUUGUCUUUGAAAAUGCCAUAUUGUAGACCCCCGGUUUGCUAGCCACCCCGAAGGAGCUGUCACCAUAUGGAGAAGUGGGGAACCUAUUUUCUUCAAGCUAGCUGCAUGAAACACGUGGCGGAACAGCUGACCAUGGCCAUGGCGUUAGUUGGGAUGGCGACCAGCUGAGUAAGAGAGAGGAGAGCACGUCCAUGACUUGCGGGAGGAGUUUUGACCGAGGGAGAAGCGGGGUUUACAAGGGAUGCUGGAAGAAGGAAGGAGGGGUCUCGAUGGCGUUUUGGGAAGAUAUUUUUUAGAGGGAAAAAUCAAGAGAGGGGCAGGUUUUCUUUGGGGUUAGAAAAGGAAAGAGCAGGGGAAAAAGAUGGGGAAGUGAAAAACGGGAGGAAAUGAGCAGCAACUUGAGGUUUUCUUUUUCUGCAACAGAGAGGUUUUUGGACAAGGGGGAAUUUGGAUAGCUGGAGGAGAGGUUGAGUGAGUGGAGGGUAGAGCUGGGUGAAAGAGAGGAAAACGAGCAGCAACUUCGAUCCCGAUUUCCUAGUCCUGGCAGUAGCAAGAGAUUCAAGCUUCCCAAAGAAGGUUUUUUUUUUUUUUUUUAAUCUAUUUUUUAUGACUGUAAUGGCGUGGAUCAUUCCUCUAUUCCUCAAAAGCUUUGGUCAGCCAUGAAAAAAUGCAGCCGUGAAUUUGUUUCUCGGCCUUUGUCGGAACCAAAGAAGUUGAACUGGUAAAACACACAGUGGAGCAGAGGGGCGGAUCUUCCGGAGGUGAUUCGAUGCGCCGCCUGUGUUUGUGUGGAGUGCUAAAUGGAACCAUUUUGCUGAAUUGCGCUGCAUAAGGAGAGGUUUUUUUUUUAGUGCUGAUGAGUGGUCAACAUGCAUAGAAAGGGACAGUGAGGAUGGGGUUUUAAUAUAUAUGGCUGAUGAAAAAGACACGUGUUCAAUAGAUACCAUGGCUGCAUAUGAAAAAUCAAGAGGUGGCAUCCACUUUGAGGUAUGUGAUUGUUUUAUCAUUAUUAUUAUUAUUAUUAUUAUUAUUAUUAUUAUUAUUAUUAUUAUUAUUAUUUUAGUUAUUUAUCUUUAAAAAAAUUCCAAGAAUAAUUUCAAAAUUUUCAAUUUAUAUAAUUUAAUAAUUUCUAUUUCUUAAAUAAUUUUCAAUUCUAAUUUCUUUCAAAAUUUAAUUUCCAAAGUCCCAAUUUUCAUAAUUUGAUUUUUAUAAUUUAACUUUCAUAGUUUCUACUUCUCAAAUAAUUUUCAAAAUUAUGUUUUCUUUCGAAUUUAAUCCCUAAAAUCCCAAUUCUUAAAUUUAAAUUUUCGAAAUUCUAAUUCUCAAAUAAUUUGCUAUUUUUUUUUAAAUUUAAUAUCCAAGAUUCCAAUUCUUAAAUUUAAUUCCCAAGACUUCAAAAAUCCAAUUUUCUCUCUAACAGUUUUAAUUCCCUUCGGGUUUCAAAUGAUCUUCUAUUCCUCUUGAUUUUACAUAAGCAUGAAUGUCAUUUUUCAUAAUUUCAGAAUAAUGGAAUUUGUGAAAUUAAUUCGUGCAAAAUACAUCGGGCUUUGGUGGGGGCCCCACAUACAUGAUUUCGUGAUUGAUUGGUGGAUUGAUUGAUAUGAUUGCUAUACAUGAUUGAUUUAUUCCACUCUAUGAUACACACACGUUUAUUCUGUAUUUAAUUGCUAACAUUUGUUUCCCUUAAAGUAAAUCGGUUCAUCACUCAGGUACAUUAUUUGUCUAUCUUAUUCAUUCAAUUAUUUUGUUUUGAGUGAUAUUCAUUUAGUAUCCAUGCUCGAUUAAUCAAUUGUCAUGAUUGCUUCAUUUUAUUAGUAGAGACCCAUUUUAGGGGCUUAGAGGGAUGCUACGGUCUUUACCCUACCUUCCCGAUAAGUAACCUAACCCCCGAACCUGAUCUGGUUUUUCUCAGACCACCUUUUUCCGAAGUAAGGAGUCACGCUUAGGGUUUUCUUUCUUACUUUGUUUACCCUUUAAAAAUAAAACAAAAAUAAGUGGCGAUUCCAAGUCAUUUUCUAAUAAAUAAAAUCAUUUUCAAAUAAAAAAUCGAGCUCGACAUCAAGUGGGAAGCGCAUAAGCCGAAAUGCAGGGUCCACAAAAUGGCGACUCCACUGGGGAGCACUAGAGGGUCAAGCUUGAACUUAAGAUGGAGCAAAUGUGACAUUUGAUUAGUCGAUCAGUGGGUACACACCUCUCUUUGUGUGUGUGUUUGCUUGACUGUUGAUUGCACAUUGAGAGCUCUUGGUAUCACUAUCCUUGAUGCAUGAUUAGUUAUGGUACUUGUUUGAGGCAUUGGUAUGUCGAUUAUAUUGAUUGACCCUUUCGAUUAUUCUCACAUAUUGACUCUUCUGGUUGUAUGAUUAUUCUGCUCACCUUGACAUGUACAUUCUUAUUGUUGCUUAUCUCGUUCAUCUUGACAUGUUUGUUUCUUGGUUGUGUAUUAUCAUGAUUGUUAUUGAGCAUGCUAUCAUUGUCAGAUAUUCUUAUCGAUUAGCUUGUGUGUAGAUUUGGAUGAUAUAUAUCUGUUUUGCAUGACUGUCUGUUGCAUGACUUCUCUCAUUUUGUGUGAUUGCAUGAGUUGCUUGUCUAUGUGGGAGACACACCUAUCCUCUUAUUUCCAAGUCCCUAGUCUCGGUCGACAUUGUUUUCCUUGGUCUCAUAUUUGAUAUGAGACUUUUUGCUUUGUUGUCUCUUCGACCGAGCUAGUGAUUAGGAAUAGGGUCUAGCGAUGGGCUAUAUUUAUGUUUGGGAGCAUUCUGGAGGUGAUCGACAUAUUGAUGCUGAUUGGAGUCUGAACUUUGAAGACUUGUAUAGCUCAGAGCUAGAUUUCAUGGAUAUUUGUGCGGUCAAUGUGUUUCCAUUUCUGCUUUAGCUUCAUAGGGUUUUCGGAUGCACCCACACCACUCACUGCGCACUCUAGUUGACCAUUGAGAGUUUUGAGAGGUUUCACCAUAGGAAACCCCCUGGGAUGUCGAGGUAGUGCAUGUGUGUAGGUGAUGACCACAUUGCAUGGAAGCACCCCGUCUCUUUUGAGACGUAUAGAGGGUUGCAUACCACCGGAGGGUAUGAUCGCUUCUGCUAGGAAUCUUUUAAAGUCCACCCAUUUCCUUUUAGCGCCACUUUGACCUUGUAAGAUGAGCUUAGAUCCUUCUACUAGGACUCUCUCCCUACACGUGGGUGCAUCUGAGGGCUUUCAGAGCCUCUAUGGUCAUAGUUUGGAUUCGAUACUCCCUCUUUUUGGUCUCCAUUUGAGAGUACUCAGAGAUUGGUAUGAGUUUGAGUAUGGCUUGGAUCACCUUUGUUGUGUCACCUUAGUUUAUGUUUUUCACUCGAUGAGUUUAGCAUAUUUUUUUCCUAGGGCUUUCGUUUUUCUUUCUUGGCUCGACACGUCCUUUCACUUUGUUGUCACUUACUUGAUGCUUUGGAAUAUGUUCAUAGAUCAUCUUUUUACAUUAUACACCUAUCACGGGUUCGGUACACCAUUCUUUGUUUGAUCAUUGAUUUAAUUUUUGACUCAAUGCUCAUAUUUUCAUUACGGAAUGGUAAAAGACACAUUUUCACAUUCACAUCUUUUUCGAGAGUUUCGCCUUGAUCACCUUAUCAUUUUUCUCUUAUGGAGCUCGAGUCGAAGGUUGAGUUAAGGAUAUGUGGUUAUAGAUGGAGUAUCGCUCUUGUGAUAGUGUAUUUCUCACACAUCUUUGGAUUAUUGAUAGGAAUUCUCUAGUCACAUUUGUAGUCAUCUCACAGUGGACACAUUUAUGACUCUAGAGUUCUCAUCAUACAUCCGGAUUUCGGAUCACCACCUUAGGACCAUGCGCUCGCAUGUUGUAUUGUCGUCUUUUAGAGUUCUAUCUUGUGUCCUUCAUCCAUUUCGUUUGCAUUGUAGGGAGUUAGUUUAAGAGUUGGUCGAGUUUGGAGUCACCUUCUUGGAGGAGAGUUAGAGGUCGAUUGAUCAGAGCAGAUUCACAUCAAUGUUCAGACAAUUCGGUUGAGAUGUCAGACGAGCUAACUGCUACACUUGCUUCUAUUCAGGAGUUCAUGGCAGGAGUCAGUAGACGCUUGGAUCAGAUAGAGAGUUCUCGCUAGGAUCCUCAUCUAAUUUGCAUGGUCAGUGAUGAAACAGUUCCUCAUACGUCUCAAACAGCACAGGCUAUGCCACAUGAGGUUUCACUUGGUACUCCAUUCCAUCUGGCAGAUCAUUAUGAGACCACUCCACCACUUACUGCCAUAGUGUCGCCUCCCAUGGUUCUUACUAUUGAUGAUACUAGAUUGGCCGAGUAGGAGACCAGGGUUGAGAGGCUUGAGGCCAGGAUGAGACAGAUCAGAUUACAGGAUGGGGGUUUGACUUGGGAUGAUAGAGAUGGUAUACCGACGGCUAGCUUGCCUGCCAAGUUUCGCAUGCCAGAUAUGAGCGCUAUAGUGGGAUUGGUUGUCCCAAGAUCCAUUUGAGGCUAUACAGCACAGUCAUGAGAGCACAAGGGAUAGAUGAUGCGCAGUUGGUGGCUCUCUUCCCUAUGUCUCUUAGUAGAGCAGCUCAAAGAUGGUUCGCUUCAGUUGGGCCUUCAAGACUUCGCACCUGGGAGGAUGUAGCACAUGAGUUCCUGACUCAGUUUGCUUUCAAUGUCGAUAUUGAUGUAUCCAGAUGAGAGUUGGAGGCCAUCAGACAGAGGCCAAACGAGUCUAUUUCUUCAUUUGUCACUCGUUGGAGGGCAAAAGUGGCUGGUAUGAUAGACCGACCUAAAGAGCAGGAUCAGAUUGAUAUGGUUCUUUGGAACCUACAGCCGAGGUUCGCUAGGCAUCUUGUAGGCAUCCAAUUUCAGGAUCUUAGGAGUUUGGUUCAUGCAGCUUUCAGUGUUGAGAAGGCCAUUGCUCAAGGAUUAUGGACAGAUAUUGCUACUUCCCUUGACAGUAAGGGGAAAAAGUCGAUUGGAUCACCUAGUAGAUUUGGAAAGGUUGGUGUUAUUAGCUAUCAACAUCAGAGGCCCGCACAUCACUUACCUUAUAGGCCUCCUACAGUCAGAGCUCAUUUCUCUCAUCCGCAAUAUCAAUAUCAACUGAUGUAUAUUUAGGAGUCUUACAUUGCUCAGACCAGCAUGCAUCCACGACCACCACAUCUGAGAGCCAUUACUCACCCACUACCUAGGCCAUAUGCACAGAGGCCCGCGAGACAGUUCACUCCAUUGGGCAUGACUUUGACUAGAGCUUUUGAGAAGCUUAGAGACGUAGGAUUGAUUGUUCCUUUGGCGCCACGCCCUUUGCCACAUUCUAUUCCUCCUCAUUUCCGCUCACAUGAGCAUUGCUUAUAUUAUUAGAUUCAGGGGCACGAUACUGAGCGUUGUUCGGCACUCCAUCUUGCGAUACAAGACUUGAUCGAUUCAGGGUUGGUCGACUUGACUGGCUGGGCCAAGUGUGACCACCAAUCCUCUACCUACACAUUCUACACAUACAGUUCCCCCUCCUCCUAGUCUUUAGUAGAUUGAUUUGGAUGUUGAUGGUAUUGAUGGUCACAUGGUAUUUUGGGACAUCCCGGGUUGAGGGCUGGGAUAAAUCGACAUGGGUACAUCAUUUUGCAGCGGUUUAGCCUAGAGCACCUUUCAUUUUGAUUAUGGUUGUCAUCAGAGCUGUUCUUGUUCUGUCGAGUCCAGUUUUUAGUUCGUUAGAGUUGUUUUUUUUAGUCCAGUUUGGUUUAGAGUCGUUUGUUUAUAGUUUAUGUUAAGAGUCUAGUCGUUUGUAGUCCUUUAUCACUUCACACAUGAUGUACUUAUUUGGUUCAUUUAGUGAUAUGAUAUUUUUAUUUUGAGUAUGUGUUAUUCUCUUUUCUCAUGAGUACGUUUUGCAUAUUUUGUGUUGAUGAGUACUAUGCUUUUAAUAUGAGACAUAUUUUCACUUAAGCAUCAUGAUCACUCUAGCCUGAGCUAUCAUGGAGGAUAUUGAGCCUAUUGACUUAGGAUCAUGAGAUCGACCUAAAGAGUUUGAGACUGUGACCCAUUUCACAUUUUGAUCAGAGCAGCACCAAAUCCACAUCCAUACCUUGUCUUUUUAGACUUGAUGACCUACCCAUUUUUGAGCUUGACAUGACACCACCCCUUGGUACUGUAUACAACCUUUACCAUUCUUAUUCGCUUUCGUAUAUUGUAGUACCAUUGCCUAUUCUUUCCAUUUUUUCCUUGAUCUGACCAGGUAGUGUCCGAGAUGGUUUGACUUGAGGUGAGUUUUGCAUGAUGAUAGAUGUAUCAUGAUGAGAGAGUGGCUUGACUGCUUGAUGAUAUUGUUGAAGCAGAGAGAUCGUCAUGGAGCAUCCAGAUUUGAGUCAUUGCACAUGAUUUCAGGGGUUUUGGUAUGAUCAGAGAGAUUGAUUUUAUGAGACGAUGGUGAGUGACAUAUGACGAUAGAGUGAGGUGAUUGUCCGAGGACAUUGAUGAUUAUCAUAGAGCAUUAGUGGUAGCUUUCACGCUAUUUCAGAGGAGUCGCCAUGACUAUGUUGGGCAAGUGCUAGUCUUUAGUAUUGACCAUGUGAGAUCUUGAAAGCACGAUGUUCGAGGUUGUGGUCAUAGGAUGGGUGGCCAUCAUUUCAGGAGCCUAUUUACUUUAUCACCCUCGCAUAUAGAGUUACCCGUUGCUAGCCUUUUGAGCCUCACACGAGCAUCGUAACCUGUUCUUUCACCACCUCAUUUACUUAUUUCACCGGGUUGGGGGCCCUAUAGUGCUUGCAUGCUUUGAUUAGAUACGUCAUGAAUUCUAGACCUGACAUACAUAUUCAAGCCUCAUCAUUCACUCUUCAUUUUGAUAUUUUCCUCUUGGUCAUCAUUUCAUCACUAUUUUCUGAUAUCACAUAUCACCACUUGUGAUAUUCGUUCUCUGUCUUUUCUUUCAUCAUUGUUUACUCAUCAUUAUCUUUGUUUCACCUUGAGUGGUGGUUUCUCACACGUCAUUGCAUGGAGGAUUGUCACGUUCUUCCGCUCGUUCGCCUUAUGAGCAAUGGUUCAAAGAUUUUAUUUUAAGAGGUCGUCUUGUUAAUGAGGAUUCGUGUUACAUCAGUACAUGGGGAGAUUUUAUUCAUUUGGCUAUGUAUUUCAUGAGAGGUCAGUCAUUAUUGAUCAGAAUAUGCGCAAAAAAAAAAAAACAAACAAACAAACAAAACAAAAAAACAAAAAACAAAAAAAUGAAAUGAUAACGCAUUGUUCAUUUUAUUAUUCUCCAUUGGGCAUGUGUAUGGACAUGCUAGUUCGCUUCAUUGAGUUCAUGUGUUAGGGAGAGUUCGUAUGAGGGCUUCUUUCUGAGAUUAUAUCUUAGUAUAUUUUGGGUGAGAGUAUGAGUUGCCCAUUCAUUUUUGUGAGAGAGGCGAGCGACCUUUCUUUAGUAUCUCUGGAUCCUUGCUCUAUCCAUCAUCCCAUCUAUUUUGGAUGUGACUACCUUCCAUGCUUUGAUGCAGGUUGACCAUCACUCACUUUUCUAUUUCUGUACUUUUGUCUAUCUCUGUUUUAUCACUCCAUUCCUCUAUUUCACUCUAUCUCAUCUGUUUUCUUUCUUUUCUCAUCAUGUUCGAUGUUUGACUUGGGUUCAACAUCCAUACAUUACACUUGCUUAUUUGAUAUGUUCAUUCAUUUAUCAUCACUUUUUGUGUGGGGACCCCCUAGGUCCAGGACUCAUGACGUUUUCUAUGCAUUGCAUUUCAUGCAUGAGGGGCCCCCACAUAAUGGAAUUUGUGAGAAUGCCAUUUUUCAUAAUUUCAGAAUAAUGGAAUUUGUGAGAUUAAUUCGUGUAAAAUACAUCGGGCUUUGGUGGGGGGCCCACAUACAUAAUUUCGUGAUUGAUUGGUGGAUUGAUUAAUAUGAUUGCUAUACAUGAUUGAUUUAUUCCACUCUAUGAUACACACACGUUUAUUUUGUGUUUAAUUGCUAACAUUUGUUUCCCUUGAAGUAAAUCGAUUCAUCACUCAGGUACAUUAUUUACCUCUCUUAUUCAUUCAAUUAUUUUGUUUUGAGUGAUAUUCAUUUGGUAUGCAUGCUCGAUUAAUCAAUUGUCAUGAUUACUUCAUUUUAUUAGUAAAUACCCGUUUUAGGGGCUUAGAGGGGUGCUACGGUCUUUACCGUACCUUCCGUAACCUGACCCCCGAACUUGAUCCGGUUUUUCUCAGACCACCUUUUUCCGAAGUAAGGAGUCAUGCUUAGGGUUUUCUUUCUUAUUUUGUUUACCCUUUAAAAAUAAACACAAAAAUAAGUAGCGACUCCAAGUCAUUUUCUAAUAAAUAAAAUCAUUUUCAAUUAAAAAAUCGAGCUUGUCAUCAAGUGGGAAGAGCAUGAGCCGAAAUGUGGGGUCCACACAUAUAUUUAGGUUUUAAAUUUCUUUGCAUACACAAGUGAUUAUUCCUAAUUUGUUUUUGUUCAUAUACAUCACAUUAAUUUCAAAAAGCAAUAAUAUAGCCAAUGCAUUGUCAGUAUGGUACAUCAAUUUUCAACAAAUUCUUUACUAUUUAUUCAAUGGUUUAAAUUAAAUCAUCUUAGAUUUAGUGUUUUAAAUUAAUUUUGUGUGUUUAAAUUGAUUUUUUAUAAUCUUUAUAAAUCAAAGAGUACAAUUCGAUGAGAGUAUAUGAUAUAAUUAAAAAAAUGUCAGUGGAAAAAUAAAUGGAGAGAGUGUUUGAUAAAACUUAAUACUUAUUAUUUAAUGAUUUAAGUUGAUUUUAAGUUAAAUUAUAUUUAAAUUGUCAAUUUAAAAUUUAUUACUUAAUUUUUUUUAAGUAUUAAAAUUGUUUAAUAAAAUUAACUUAAAACAUAUUUUAAAAUUUUAAAUUGAUAUGUUUAAAUUUAUAAAUUAUAAUUAAAAUAAAGGAGGUUGAAUAAUAGUAAAAAUAAUGAAGUAAUAAAGGUGAUGGUGGAAAUAAUUAGGAUAAAUGAAAAUAAAAAAGUAAAAUAAAAAUAUUCAUUUAAAAAUUAAUUAAUAAUAUUUUUUAUUUUUUAUUUUAAGUCAUAUCAUUAAAUUAUUUUAUUAAAGAUGUUUAAUAAUUUAAAUUAAGUUAUUAAAUUAUUUGAAGUUGCAAAACUGAUUAAAAAACGGAGUAUGACAAAAUGUGGCAUUAUUCUUGAAGGAACCGACUUUGAAAAUGACAUAUCCUUAGGUUUUAAAUUUCUUUGCAUACGCUGAUGAGAUGAUUAUUUCCAAUUUCUUCGUAUAUUACAUCAAAUUCCAAAAAGCAAUAAUUGAUUGUUGAAAGUAUAGUACAUCAUCUUUCAACAAAUUCUUUACGUUAAUCCCUGCAAUUUUGACCAUUCUUAUAACCCAGCUACGUGCAAGUACUGUUUUGCCGACCGAUCCACAUACUGCAAUGUAAUUUGUUGCACAGUAAAAGAUGUGGGCUCCCAGUCUACCUAUUUUCCAUAAUUGUCCUAUCCUAAAAUAAAGAGCUAUUUCCCCUAUGUGGAGGAUCCAUGUCUUUAAGUUUGAGUUGUGAGUCUGAUGUGAGCUUUUUGCAUCUAAGAUAAAAGAAAACUUAGAAGAAUAUUUCUCUGAAGUUUAAUUGACUUAUUUAGUUUGGUCUCAUGUCCCUCGGGUGAUUAGACUGUUUUCUUGUGUUAGAUGAAGAUGUGAGUUGUGUUUUUUUAGAGUUAUAAUUAGAUAGAUUUUAUUGAAAUUGAUAUUAAUUGAUUUAUUUUGGUUUUAAUAUAUUGUCGGAUUGAUUGGAAAUAUAUUUUUGAUCUAAAUUUUAUGACUAGUUUUAUUUUUUUUUUUAAGUAAAAAAAUUUAUAGAAAUUUAUUAAGUUUAAUUUUAUUAAAAAUUAGACCAAUUAUGAGACAAAAAGAGUGACUGCAAGUGGCUUGCCUCCCUCUCACUUUGGAACUUUGUGGUUUUAUAUAUAAAUAUUGAUAAUUUUUUUGGAUACCCUUCACUUCCUUGACCCAUGAAAUGAGUUUUGUCGUAUACAGGUCUAGCCCUACCUCGAAUGGGAAUGUUUGAGAUAAAGAUAAAUAUGUUAAGACGAGUUUAGGAAAAUUUUAAAAACUUGGGAUAGAUUCAAGGUGAAUUCGGAGUAUGAUUUUAUUCUAUCCCAAUUAUAUAUAAUUUAAAAUAAAAAAUUAUUUUAAUUGAUUUUUUUUUUCAAUUUUCAACCUUUUAAGAUAAAUAAAGUAUUACUUUUAUAAAAAUAAAUUAUAAAUGUUUAUAAUAUUUAUUUAUUUAUAAAUCAUAUUUAUUUUUAACAAAUUUAAAAUCUUAAAAAUAAAAUAAAUUAGAAGAAAUGAAAAAAUAAAAACUAAACAAGGAGAUAGGGUGGGUAUGAGAAUUUUUUAUACCCUUUCCAGUCCUGUUUAACUUUUGUUUUUUUUCUUAACAAUGGUGAAAACAAAUAAAAAUAAAUGAGAUGGGUUUGAGAUAGCAAUGACACAUCUUGAACCUUUACCGUUAUACAUUAGUAUAUUUAAAGGGAUUAACAUAAAGUAUUUUUUGAAAGUUAAUGUACCAUAUUAACAAUUUGGUGGUUAUGAAAAAAUUAGUAGUUAUUAUCAAAGUUUAUUUUGUCCGACUUUAGGUUCAAAAGUCCAGUUAUCUCGCGUAUGAUCAUAUCAUUCACUUUUUUUCGAUUAUUGUACUCUCUUGUUUCUCUCAUUGAAUUAUUGUACCCUCUAUGCAUGAAGAUUUUAAUAAAUUAAUUUAAAUGAUUGAAUAUAUAUAUAUAACUGAAUGAUUUAAUUUAGCUCAUUGAAUAGAUAAUAUAUGUUAUAUUUUACAAACAAAAUUAAAGAUAUUAUUUAAUAUUGAAAUUAACUUAAAAUAAUAAAUCAAAUGAAAGCAUCAAACUGUUAUCAUAAAAUCUACCUAAGAAACUUGCAGAGGAGAUGUUACAAUUUGAAACUGAAGACGCUCAAAUAUCUUCACUGGCAUCAUUUGUGGGAAAGUCUAAGUUCAUCCCACUUAGCUAGAAUGAAAAGCCACCUGCGAAAGAUCAAGAAAAUCCUUACAAAAGUGGGGGGCCUCCCUUGGAAAAGUCUCUCCAAAUCUAAAAACUCAUUUCUAUAUUGAGAAACCUUUUUGGUAUCCAGAAAUGAUAGAACAAAAUUUUCAAUUAUUCAUGAAGAUUUUCUAGCAUCUUUAGGAACCUUUCUCACCAAACUAAAUAGGAAAAAUAUUAAUAAAUCUGAGAGAAUAAUUGUGACAGAUGAUAGAAUGCAGAUCAGAAUGACAAAUCUAUUCCAUUUAUUAAAAAUACAAAUGGGAAUAAAAAUUUUAUUUUCAUGUAAAUCAAAGCUUAUCCUUAUUAAUUUUGAUUCUUAGUUGUUUUUGUUGGAGUAAUAGCAUUGAAAGAAGGAUAAAAACAAUUACCUAAAUAAAGAUAAAUAAUUAAUUAAAAAGAAUUUAAAGUUUUAUUGUCUUUCGUCACUCUUUUUUAAAUAUUAUACAAUAUUUUAUUUAUAAAUACUCAUGCCUAACUAUAUGCGCAAAUUUAUGAAAUCCUACAGAAAAUAAAAAAAAUAAAAUAAGACAACAAGAAAAAUAUGCCAAUAAAAUUAUUUGUAUUAGAACUAUUUUUCUAUAAUUUGAUUGUCUAGAUCAUAAUCCAGAUGAUGAUGAUGUGCAUAUUUCUUGGGGACCGAAGUUUAAUAUUAAUGGUCUUGUAUGGCUUAAUGAAACAAUUUUUUUAAAAAAAAACAAUAUGGUAACCAAAGAGUCAAUGAAACAAAUGACUGAAUGGAACAAAUCAGUCACUUUAGAUGAUUAAGAAAAAGCUAGGAAAUGAUGAUUCAGUUCCUUUUUUAUUUUGCUCUUUUGGUAUAAUUUUAUAUUUGUGACGAUUAGGAAUAGAUAAUUGCAUUUCGUGUAGGACCUAACCAUCUGAUACAAUUGAAUAAAAGCAACUAUCAAACCAGAAAUCUUUGACAACUUCCUAGACCAGGGGAAUGGGCUCAAUUAGUAACGAUAAUACACGAUCCUUGGUUUCUCGAUCUUGAACACCAUGCCCAUCUCCAUACUGGUACAUGCAUUGGGACAUCCUAGCGAGGUUUAUUGCAAUUCCGAUAAAAGUCUGGGAGAAGGGAGAUUCCAUAACUCGAUCUUCAUUCAUCUUCUUCCAUGUCUCCCCAAUCAAGCAUUUUAUGUGUUCUCGAGCGUCUUCUUCACAAGCGCCAGUUUCAUGCAUGUAACAUUGUAUGGAUUUAGGAACAUCUCCUCGUUUUAGUUCAUCCUGAGGCAAUGAAAAAAAGAACCGUUAUAAUUUGUUGUUCGACCUAGAAAUCAAAGCAAUCUUUACUGAACAUGUUAAUCAAAAUGAGAAAGAGAGGAAAAAUGCGUACGGAUGAAGUUCCAAGAUCAUCUGAAAGGCGUAAAAUAAUUGAUGACCAGCGGAUUAUAUUGCAAUAUUGCUCCAAGCAUUCCAAAGCGUCCUCGGUUAUUGGAUUUGUAACAAAAAAGAACGCAUGAACUAGUAUUACUGGUGCUGAUAUUGAAAUCCAUGCAUUACUAAGGUACUCUUUCAGGGUUGGUGUAUAUCGCGCGUGGUACCACUUUGCCUCCAAUAAGUAAGACUUACAUAAAUCUGCCCACUGGAGGAUUAAGAAUUGUAUAAUGAGUCCAUAGUAAAUAGGAGACAGAAAAUUUCAUGAAAUUUAAUUCAAAGAGUACUGACACGAGUUUGGAAUCCAAAACAUUACCGCUUUUCUAAGAUAUGCGAUGAUGUGGGAACCUUGCUCCUUAAGAAGGUCAUAAGCCAUUUCAUUGGUCGAGUUGUAGAGAGCAAGGAAACAUAUCUUCAUAUAUUCUGGAAGUUGAUCCAUUGCAUUGAUAUCCCAUCUGAACAUAUAUGAAAACAAAAUAUUUGAGGUUUUAUCAAGCGGGUAUUUUGGAGUUAACAUGCAUAUACCUAAAGUAUACAUAGAGGAGAUCCACUGCCACCAACCUGUCAACAGCAUCUGUAAAGAGUUCAAGUUCCUCCAAUGUUCCAUAAACAUCAUAAACAUCAUCUAUUGUUGUUAUCAUUGCAUUUACUUUCGUCAACAUUCUCCUACAAUAUCCAAACUGAGGCUCAAAUAUCUCCCCCACAGUCCACAAGAAAUUCUCCAUCAACCUGUCCCUCGCAAAGCUCAGCUUUUCUCCAAGACGUGUGCUUCUCCACCACCUAUAAAAAUAUAAUGUCCACAGUAUUAGAAUAUGGUAAGUUGUAUUUGGAUAUAUCUGAAAUAAUAUAAUGUGAAUAUGCACAUUUGCUCUUACCUGGAGGCAUACUUCAGAUCCUCUUGGUGCUUUGCUUGCACCAUAUUAUAAUCUAAUUUUGCAAACUCAAGCAAGAUGGGGUUCAUGUCCUGUGAUCUCUCAUAUGCAUCUAUGAACCACCUUGCCUCUAACCUUAGCAUUCUCCAAUGCAGUGGAAGCUCCAAAGCAUGGCUCACUAGUAUGGCAAGAUUUUCAUCUAUAUUUUGCUGCAGACAUGCUUCAAGAUGUUUUUUUGCUAAAACUCUAGCUUCUUCCAAGAUACUUUCACCUUCUAUGGAAAGGUAGGAAGCUUCAUACAAACACAGAACUCCCUGGAUAUCUUCAGAAAGGCAUGCCUUAAAGCCCCCCAUCUCAUCCUUGAAACUACUAAAAACAUCUGCAAUAAAAAAUGCUCAUUUUUUAGCUGUUAUAGAGACAAAGUCAAAUAAAGACCUUUACUGCUAGCAAAGAAUUAGUUAAGAUCUCUAAAAUGCCUUAGGAUGCAGUACUUCAUCUUUCUGUACCAAAAAUGAAGAUGUUACUGAUAUACCUUGAGGAAUGCUAUACCCAUUUUGUCUUAGAAUUCUAAAUUCAAGAGCUGUGGCAUGCAAAUUCUCUUUCUCCCACUUGUCAUCAAUGUUAUGAUUGCAGUACAUGCUGUUCGACAGUCUCUUGAUUUCAUCUUCGAACUGGUAAGAUAUUCCAAGUCUUUGCAAGAGAUCGAUCACCUCAAGUUGAUCCAAAGGCUGCUCCACCUUUCCCAGCAUCAUUUUCACCUCCCUCUUUAGUUGAUCGAAUCUUCCUAUGCAUGUUUCUCCCUGCACAUAUAACAAUAUAUUCAUAUGCAACAUCAAGCUAAAAAACGAUUAAAACACAUUGCUAAGAAUAAUGAAUAGCUACCCUAUAAUCACUUGUUAGUGACUGGACAUAGUCGUAGUCCCAAGUGGGGGCUUGAUAAUUUGCAGUUCGCCGUACAGUGGUUUCAUAAGAAGGUCUAUUGACAACCACGCAUUGUACCGGAUGAGCAGGCUUGCCACUAAUGGAUUUUCCCAUCCAAAAAUCCCUUCUAGGUGGCAGUAAGCUAUGACUUAGAAUAGAGGUUGAAGAAAGCAUAAACAGAGCCAUUGAGAAGAACUUAGCAAGAGCUAGCUGUAGAUGAUUGUUUGGGUUGGACUGGGCUCCACAUUGACAUCAAACUUCACCCUUUAUAUAGAACAUGAUACAAGCAAGAGGCGUGCACAAGGUCAGUUGUUGAGCCUUGCCACCAAAUUCUCAUGUAUAAUAUGUGUGUUUAUCCUUUAUUUAUUUUAUGCUGUAUUGUAUAUCCAAAUAUGGGGUGGCUGUUAGGAUCUUUCUAUUUAUCCUAGAAGUAGCAAUCCCUGCCGAUCACCAACCUUUGUUUAUAUAUUAAUUUGUCUUCAUUUCAGUGGAGCUGUCGGGAGGUGUUCAUAGAUUGAUUUAUAAAAUGACAUGUUUAAUAAGUGGAAGCCUAGAUGAGUUGAACCAGUCCAAUCCAACAAAAAUGAGAACCGGGGAGUUAAAAAGGGUCUAGAUUCGGUGAUGAGAUCUCAUCAAGAAUUAAAAUAUCAAACAUUACAAAAACAUUUCGGUGGUUGAAUUUAUGAAAAUAUCAGAAAAAAAUUUUAGAGAAAAAAAUAUUAAUAUGAUAAAAAAAGUAUUGGAAGCCAGAUGAGUUGAACCAGUCCAAUCCAUCAAAAAUGAGAACCGGGGAGUUAAAACUGUCUAGAAACUCCCAUUAUGUAAUCAUAAAAUAAAAAUAAAAAAACAAAAAAAAAACCUUCUCUCUUUUACUCUCUUUCUCUCUUUAAGAAAAGCCUAAAAGAACACACUUUUAUAACAAGUCAUUUCUCUUGAAUUUAUUUGAGAACGAAAGUUAAGAUAUUUGUGCUAUGAAAAUAAAGUAAUUAUUAAUUUUUGUAAUUUCUUUCUUGAUUUGGGACAAAGAAUUCAAUAAUGAAACAAUCAAUCUAAAUUUUGGACAUCUUAAAAGGCAAUUUGAAGUCUUAUUUCCAUUAGUAGCAAAAAAAAACCUUUAAUAACUAAAAAACAAAUAGCAAUACACUUAAUUAAAUUGUUUUACUAAAUAAUUAUAUAUAUAUAUAUAUAUAUAUAUAUAUAUAUAUAUAUAUAUAUAUAUAUAUAUAUAUAUAUGAUAAAAUUUAUAGUAUUUCAUGAAAAUGUUUAGAACUUGAUUUUAUUUGUAUAAAAAAGACAAAAAUCAAAUAAAAUCAUUGGGAAUAUCAUAAGAAUGACUUCCUAUUUUCAAUAAUCAGUCAAAUAAAAUUAAAAAAAUAAAAUAAUUAAAAUGUAUUAAUUCAUUAAAAUUAUAUUUCAAUAUUUAGUUUUUAUAUGGACAUACAUAAAAUCAGUAUAUAUAAAACAUCUUGAAUAUAUUUCAUAAGAAUAACUUUGCCUCGGUAGAAAGGGGUCACACUACUAUAGAUCUUUAAUUCAGGAUCCAUAUUUAUUUGCACUUGUGAUGUAUAUAUUAUUUAUUGAAGAGCCUAAUGCAAAAUGAACUCAUGCAUCCCUAAAAUAUUGGUUUUGACAGAUAUAUUGGUAAUUCGAUUUUACAGAUAUAUCAGAGUAUAUUAAAGGAUAUUAGUAGAUAUUUUCACAUAAAUAUCGAUAGGGUAAAAAUUAAUUAAAACUCAUGAAAAUAUUAAGAAAAAUUCUAAAAAUGAUAUAAAAAGUAAUAAUAAACAUUUUUAAAUUGUUUUAUUAAAGAAAAUUAUAUAUGUAUGAUAUAAUUUAUUAUAUUUACUAAUAAUAUCAUAUGUGUAGAUAAAAAAUAUAAAUUUUAUAAAUGUAUAUUUAUUAUUAAGUUACACAAAAUAUUAUUCAAUAAUAAUAUCAAGACAUUUAAUUAUAAUAUGCUUAAUUUUAAAAUAUAUUUAAUAUUAAAACUAUGAUCCAUUUAUUUCAAUUGUAAUUAAUAAUAUAAAAUAAAUAUUGAUAUAUGCAUAAUUUUUUUAAUAUUUAAUUAAUAUAUUAAUGAUAAAAAAAAAAUCUAUGAAGAAAAUUAUUAUGAUAAUUUUUAUAGUUUUGGCAAUGUUUUUAUUUAAUUAUAAAACAACUAUAAUUAAUUAAUUGAUUAAAAUAUCUUUUUAAUAUAUUUUUUUUAUGAUGACUUAUGGUCUAGUAGUCAUCUAAGGCCAACCUUUUGUCUUGGGUUGCCAUCCCGAAAUAGUAGAGAAAAAUGGGGUUUUUUUUUUUAACUUUUGCAGCAAUUUUUAAAAAUAAUUAUUAAAAAAUGAUAAUUGAGAAAAUAUUGAUAGAUCUAUAACCGUCUUGACCACGUGAAAAGUGUCUUUUGAAGAGACAUCUUUCACAAUUUUCAAAAUCAUAAUACAUAUUUAAAAUAACUGAAUUUAAGCUAAAGGUAUUUCUUGAACAGACAUCUUCUACCAUUCUAGAAAAUUGAAUUUAUAUUAAAGGUAUCCCUUGAAAAGACACUUUUCACGUGACAAAAAAUCCAAUAUACAUUAAAGGUGUCUUUUGAAGAGACACUUUUCACAAUUCGACAAAUUUGAAUGUCCCGUGAAUUUGAUUUUAAAGUUAAAGAUGUUUCUUGAAAAAACACAUUCUACAAUUCCUAAAAAUUUUAAUUUAUACAAAAGGUGUCACUUGAAGAGACACUUUUCACAAUUCCACAAAUUCUAAUAUAUACUAAAUGACACAUUCUACAAUUCCAAAAAAAUGGAUUUAUAUUAAAAGGUCACCAUUGAUAGAGGCUACGUUGUGGAAAGUGUUUCUUCAAGAGACACUUUUAGUAUAAACCCAAUUUGUUUUAAAAUUGUGGAAGGUGUCUCUGUCAAGAGACACCUUUCACAAAUCCCAAAAAAUAGAAUUAUACUGAAGGUGUUUCUUGAAGAGACACCUUCCAUAAUUUUAAAAACAACUGGGUUUAUACUGAAAGUGUCUCUUCAAGAUACACUUUUCACAAUUUUCACAAUAGAAAAUUUCGAAUUUAUGUUAAAGAGAGACAUCUUUUACUUUAAAAUCAUUUCCACAAUUUUUAAUACAUAUUGGAUUUUGUGGAAUUAUGGAAAGUGUCUUUUCAAGAAACACCUUUAAUAUAAAUCCAAUUUUUUUGAAUUGUAGAAGGUGUCUCUUUAAGAGACACCUUUAGUAUAUAUUGAAAUUUAUGGAAUUGUGGAAAAUGUCUCUUCAAGUGACACCUUUUGUAUAAAUUAAAAUUUUUAGGAAUUGUAAAAGGUAUCUCUUCAAGAAAUAUCUUUAAUUUUAAAAUUAAAUUCAUGAGACAUUCAAAUUUAUCAAAUUGUGGAAGGUGUCUCUUCAAGAGACACCUUUAAUGCAUAUUAGAUUUUUUGUCAUGUGAAAAGUAUCUUUUCAAGAGACAUCUUUGAUAUAAAUCCAAUUUUCUAGAAUUGUACAAUUAGUCUCUUCAAAAGACACCUUUAUCUUAAAUUCAAUUCUUUUAAAUAUGUAUCAUAAUUUUGAAAAUUGUAGAAGGUAUUUCUUCAAAAGACAUCUUCUAUGUGGCCAAAACUACCGUAGAUCUAUCAAUAUUUUUUCAACUAUUUUUUUUUAAUAAUUAUUUUUAAAAAUUGCUGCAAAAUUUAAAAAAGCCCAGAAAAAUGGGCAAAUGAAACUUUGCUAUUGAGUGCCUCUAGAUUGCCUCUAGAUUGGAUACGGAAUUCCAAUAAUAUUUAAUAGAAGGAUGCUUGAUUGCAAAUGGAAUGCUGUUCCAAAAGCUGCCGAAUACUUUAUUUAAGAAGAUGCCCUUUGCUGUACAUGUGUUGUUUGCACCCAAUUAUUAUUAUUAUUUUUCAGACACAAUUCAGUGUAUUAUCACUGUUUAUUGAGUCAUUGAACGUGAUCAUAAUCUUGAUUUGGGUCCAGGCAUGAUUUCUUCGCAUAAAAUAUUAACGAGGCGAUUCGCUAGGAGCAUAUGAUAUCCUUAUCGCUAUCUUAAGGUGAGAAAGAAAACUUGUUUUAAUCAUGCUUAGAUUAAUUUGAGUGUGAUGUAGGAGGAUCAUAUCAUUUCAGUGUUUAUCCAAGAUAAAGGUGAUUUUAAGUAGCUUUAUCGAUAUUAUUGAAUCAAUUAAAUUACCAAUUGUGUGAUUAGAAAGAAUCAUAAACAAUGAGAGAAAAAAUAUAUGGGUUCUUAUUAUGAUUAAGUAUAACACGAAUAGAAUUUAAAUAGGUUUAUAAUCAAAGAAAAUAAAGAGAAAAGUAUUAAUUCAUCUAUAUCUCUAUAUAAUAAUAAUAAUAAUAAUAAUAAUAAUAUAUAACAAAUAAUUUUACAAUCGUAAAAAACAUCAAAAGUUUGCUAACCAAAAACUAAAAACAUGGAAGUGCAUGUGACUUGGUAAAUAGGUCUGUAAUUUAUGAGAAAAAAUAAACAAAAAAAAAUACAUUUUUGAAAAUGAUAAUGAGUAAAGUUUCAAUUAAUUUGAAUAUAUUUGGUCCUUUCAUAAUGAUAAAGUUGUGUGUAAUAAUCAAAAUAACACUUUUAUCGUCACAACACAUAGGAGUGAAACAAAAAAGAAAAAUACUCAUAUUAGCCAAGGAGUAAGAUAAGAAAAAGAAAUAUUCACCUCAAGUGGUUAACAUAAGAGUGCAACAAGAAAGAAAAACACUCAUAUAAACAAAUAAUCAGUGUAACCAAACCACUUCAUUGGUGGUAGACAUCAUAUCAUGAUACUUAGCUUGUAUGGAAAAUCAAGAAAUGAUAGUCAAUUUUUUGCUCUUCCAAGAAAUAAGAGAAUCACCCUAAAAUAUAUAAAAUUUAGUGAUAGACUUGCAAUCUUUGGGAUCACUAGCCUAGUCAACAUCAACAUAUGCAUGCAAUUCUAAAAAGGGAGUGGAUAGAAGUAAAAGAUUUUAAAAUAAAUCACCCUGGAGAUACCAUUGAAUAAGAAGAACAACAACCUAAUGAAUUGUAGUAAGAUAAGCAAUUUGACUAAUAAUGUUAACAACAUAAGCAAUGUUUAUAUAUGUAAUAGUAAGAUAAACUAAGUUGCCAACAAUAGUACGUUAUAAAGUAAGGCUUGACAAGGGGUCGGUUACUACUAAAAGAAGAAUACCAAACAUUAACCUUAAAGAGGAGUAUCAAUAGUCUUAGUAUUAGUAAGUUGAGCAUGAUAUAGACUAUAUACUUAGAUUGUGAGAUAAGAUAACCUUUCAAAAAAGAAGCUACCCCAAUAUCCAAAAUGUAUCGUAAAGAAUGCAAAUCCUUCAUUUCAAAAAUUAACAAUUAGCUCAAUUCAGAGACCUUGUUUACUACCCCUAUGCAACCUUGCAUGAUUACCAAAGCGCCUUUAUGUAUAAGAGUGUACCUAAAAUCAAUCUAACUCUCAUAAACUAUGUCAUCAUGGUAUAUGAGCUUAGAGGAGGGACCAUUAAUGGGACCCAUAGAAUUUUGAGGGAAUAUUGACUCAUUCAGAAUUCAAUUCUAAAAUUAAUUCAAUAUUCCACUAAAAAAAUCAACUACACUCUAAUACCCUAAGUAAAUAAAAAAGAUACGAAGUUCAAGUUUGUGACUUACUAUCCACUGAAUGCAAACUCUUUAUGAAUUGGUGUUCAUAAUCCAACAAGGGAGUGUUAUCACCUAUCAAGAUUACCUUUCUAAUCCUUGAGUUACAAAUCCCACUUAUUUUGUGAUCAAAUGACAUACUCUAGUUCAUAAAGUGCGUAUGUCAAAUUCACUUAAGGAAUUAUUACAACGCCACAAAUUUCAUGAUCACAUGUCCUUUGGAUUACCUAAGAGGACAUAUUAUCUCAAUUUCAUGAGAUAUCAUGUUACCUCUAUUGAGAAUACUUGUUGCCUCCAUUGAGAAUACAUGUUGUCACUAGCCUCCAUCAAUAAUGAGGGGAUAUUAACCACUUUAAGAUUUCAUUCAUAGGUCAAAGUCUCCUAUUGAUUUUGGCAUAGACUCAAUAUCCUCUUAGAGUUGAGAAUCCAUACAAUAUAGUUGUUAGCAACUUAGAUCUAAGCAUCCGAAGUAAUACUAUUUUUUUUUUAUAAUGACCUUUUAGGGUUAAAGUAUUAGGAUAUGAUAAGUUGUAUUUGGCUGUAUCUGAAAUAAUAUAAUGUGAAUAUGCACAUUUGCUCUUACCUGGACGCAUACUUUAGAUCCUCCUGGUGCUUUGCUUGCACCAUAUUGUAAUCUAAUUUUGCAAACUCAAGCAAGAUGGGGUUCAUGUCCUGUGUUCUCUCAAAUGCAUCUAUGGACCACCUUGCCUCUAACUUUAGCAUUCUCCAAUGCAGUGGAAGCUCCAAAGCAUGGCUCACCAGUAUGGCAAGAUUUUCGUCUAUAUUUUGCUGUAGACAUGCUUCAAGAUGUUUUUUUGUGAAGUCCCUAGCUUCUUCUAAGAUACUUUCACCUUCUAUGGGAAGGUAGGAAGCUUCAUACAAACACAGAAUUCCCUGGAUAUCUUCAGAAAGGCAUGCCUUAAAGCCCCCCAUCUCAUCCUUGAAACUACUAAAAACAUCUGCAAUAAAAAAUGCUCAUUUUUUAGCUGUUAUAGAGACAAAGUCAAAUAAAGACCUUUACUGCUAGCAAAGAAUUAGUUAAGAUCUCUAAUAUGCCUUAGGAUGCAGUACUUCAUCUUUCUGUACCAAAAAUGAAGAUAUUACUGAUAUACCUUGAGGAAUGCUAUACCCAUUUUGUCUUAGAAUUCUAAAUUCAAGAGCUGUGGCAUGCAAAUUCUCUUUCUUCCACUUGUCAUCAAUGUUAUGAUUGCAGUAUAUGCUGUUCAACAGUCUCUUGAUUUCAUCUUCGAACUGGUAAGAUAUUCCAAGUCUUUGCAAGAGAUCGAUCAGCUCAAGUUGAUCCAAAGGCUGCUCCACCUUUCCCAGCAUCAUUUUCACCUCCCUCUUUAGUUGAUCGAAUCUUCCUAUGCAUGUUUCUCCCUGCACAUAUAACAAUAUAUUCAUAUGCAACAUCAAGCUAAAAAACGAUUAAAACACAUUGCUAAGAAUAAUGAAUAGCUACCCUAUAAUCACUUGUUAGUGACUGGACAUAGUCGUAGUCCCAAAUGGGGGCUUGAUAAUUUGCAGUUCGCCUAUUAGCAGUUUUAUAAGAAGCUCUGUUGACAACUAUGCUUUGUACCGGAUGAGCAGCCUUGCUACUAAAGGAUUUUCCCAGCCAAAAAUCCCUUCUAGGUGGCAGUAUAGUUUUCCUGAGAACAGGGGCUUGAAGAAAGCAUGAAAACAGCCAUUGAGGAGAACUUAGCAAGAGCAAGCUGUAGAUGAUUGUUUGGGUUAUACUGGAUUCCAUGGAAUACUGCAGAAGCGGAAUUCCAAUAAUAUUUUAAUAGAAAGAUGCUUGAUGGCACAUGUAAUACUGUUUCAAAAGCUGCUUUAGUGAAAGCCAUGCCAGGUACAUACCUUAAGAAGAUUUUAUAUUGGGAGCAUGCUACCACACAAUUAAGUGUAAUAUCAUUAUUUAUUGAGUUAUUCAACGUGAUCAAAAUAUGGAUAGGGUCUAGGUAUGAUUACUUAACAUGAAAUAUUGGUAAGGCGAUUCACUAUGACUAUAUGUUAUCCCUAUCGCUACCUUAAGAAAAGAGAACUUGUUCUAAUCAUGCUUAGGUUAAUUUGAGUGUGAUAUUAGAGGAGGAUUAGAUCAUUUCAGUGUAUCUCCAAGAUAAAGGUGACUUUAAGUAGGUUUAUUGAUAUUAUUGAAUUAAUUAAAUUAUCAAUUGUGAGAAUAUUAGAAAGAAUCACAAACAAAGGGAGAAAAAAAAAUCUAGGGUUCUUAUUAUGAUUACUUGAAAAAUAAGUAUAACACAAAUUGGAUUUAAAUAGGUUUACAAUCAAAGAAAAUAAAAAGGAAAAUAUUAAUUCAUCCAUACUCUUAAAAAGAAAGAUAAUAAUUUUAAUAUAGAAAAUAAAUAACUCUAACAUCUCUAUGCGAACUUAUGAUGCAAUUGGAAAAAGCUUCAAGAAUUUGUCAUACUCUCAAACCUUCAUAUUUCAUAAGAAUAAACAUAUGUCAAGUUCAAAUUCUCAUAAAACUUGACUUGAAAAAUUAUCUUUUUCUUGUUCAUAGCUUCAUUCCUUUUGCAAUUACAUCUAUCCUUGUGCCAAUAAGUACUUUUAGGUGCAAAUGGAGUCUUAAUCAUCUUGUUACUCUUAACCUAAAAUGCUAUACUUUAUUUCAAGAGUUGGACUUAAAUGAAUAGUAUUUACUGCUCUUACUUCUAAUUCUUUUCAUCCAUAUAGCUCUCUAUUUUUUUUUUUGCCUUAUAAUGCUUUGAGAAGUCCUUAUUGCUCCAAAAUACCUUUUAUAGUACUUUAUCAUAUACUAAAAUGUUUUUUUCUAUUAAAGGGCUCAAUAUCAUAUUUUAAUGAAUUUUUGUAAUUAAAACCUCAAGGCAUAAUUUAAACUCUUCUAAAUAUCCACUAGAAUAAACAAUUUUAGGUCAUUUUGAAAAAUAAAAAAUUAGAAGUUUAUACUAUUUUUCCAAUUAAAAAAAUUAAGAAAUUAAUGUCAACGAUAAAACUCACAUUUAAUUCACAAAUCCAUAAAUCUAAAUAAAGUUUAAAUAGAAACAAAGGUUGAAUUAAAAAAAUCUUCUAAUAUUUUCUUAGCAGUCAACUAUAAUUGGAAAUUCUAAUUAUUAUCGAAUUACCAAUUUUCUAACUAAUAUUGUGAAGUAUCUAGAAAUAAGUUUUACUAUUCUUUUUUUUUUCUUUUUCAAUUGAUUAGUUUUCAAAUUAAAUUAAAAAAAAAUAUGAUGAUUAAUUUUAUAUGUAUUUUUAACAUGAAAAAAAUAUUAUUAUACAUUCAGAAACGAAUAAAGACAAACUAUUUAAGACUUAAUAAUAUUCACUCAUUAAUAAAUAAAUAAAAACUAAUGAUACAAAUACUCAAUGAUAUUCAACUCUUUUUAGAUUUAAGUGAAACUCAAGUUUAUUCAGAUUUUAAAGAAAAAAAAAAACACUACCUAAUCCUAUGAGAGGUGAAUGCAUUUAAGUGGGAUUUUAAUCUAUUUGAGCAUUGCAAAAUAAGUUUACUAGUUUUAAUUAAAUUGAAAUUGAUUAAGCCAAUGAUAGACAUGGGAUUUUCACAGUCCCAACGAAGUCACCAAUUUAUGGACCUACACUUUUCACGUGUUAAAUCUGGUUUCUACUUUAAUUAAGUCUAAAAAAUUGAGGUGGGGUCUAUGCAUUAGUAUGAAGAGUUUAGCACUUAAUUUGCAUUAAGUGUCUAUAACACACCUCCACAUCAUAGUUUUAAUUUUGAGGAUUUGGGUUUGUUUUUAGGCUUUAGGCUUUAAUUGGAUUCUCCAUUUGAGUUUAGGCCUGAGUUUGGGUUCAUGUGCUCUACUCCUUGGGUUGUAAUUUGCCUCACUUGGGUUUGGACCUUUAGACUAUUGCAUUUGAGCUUCUAUUAUUGAUACUGGGCUCAUUGGAUUGGACUUGGACAUUGAUAUCCUUUUGGGCCAACUUUUAUUUGAUUUUUGGGCCUAUUUUAUUUUUUCUCUUGGGUCUAGAGUAUUGAUUGUUUGAUUUGGGCUUCUGUUUUUGAUUUGUUAGGGCUUACAUACGACUGACUUUGGCUGUGGUUUUACUUUGUACGUGGGCCGUCUGUGGACUGAGAUUUGCGGUAGAAAAAAAGGUUGGAAGCUAUAAAAGGGCAAAAAAAAAAAACCAUAGGGCACAAGGGGUGGGCCCAUGUAUUUUUCUACUUUUUUUAAAUCAAAGCCAUAAAAAUACUAUUUAAGAUAAAAUUACAAAAUCUUUUUAAAUAAAAGGGUAAAAUCCUUUUUCUUUAAUAAAGUUGUAUAACCUUUGAAUGAAAAUAGGAAGCCCUUUUUCAAAAAUAAUAUUUUUUAUAAAAGUAAAAUAUAUAUAUAUAUUCUUAAAAAUAAUAAUAAAAUUCAGAUUCUCUUUUCAACAAAAAUAGGGAUAAAAUCUCUCUCUUUUUAAAAUGUUUUCUUUAUAUAAUUUUGAAAUUCUUUUUCUUAAAAAAAUAAAUUUAUAAUUUUUUUUUAAAUUAAAUAAUUUGUAUCAAUUGUAGAGCUUUUUUUGAUAAAAUUGAAGAACUUUCUUGAAAUAAAAUAAAGUUAAAAUCAUUUUGUAAUAUAACUUGUCUAAUAAAAUUAAAUAAAAAUCACUUUUCUAAAAUUGGUAUGCAAUCAAGUACAACCAUACAAUCGACCAAAUUUUAGAAGACUUUUUAUGGCGAUGGAAAAGAAACCUAAUAAUAAAACUCUUUUUGAAUAUUUUAUUCUAUGAAAAGAUAGUUAUGACCCCAUCAAUACAAUAUGCUUUGAGACUCCUAUCUAAAGGCCGACAAGCUGGGCAUACUAGCAUUAUUGCAAAUUUGACAUAAUACUAUUGCUUAAUCUUACAGCAAACAUGGGAGCACAUGACCACAAAUUCUAUAUAUAGCUGCUGGCAAUGUGAUCCAGCUUGUCCCACUCCUAUGGCUCUUCUGACGCUUUCUUCAAACCCUUUUUUCACUUUUACAAGACUGCAACCUGCAAGCCGCUUCUGCCGCGGAAAAUCGCAGGGUGUUUGCAUUUCUGGUCCAGUCCAAUGCACGGGUGGGGCUAAAACUAGUAGCCAAACUGCUGUGAUUGUGAGGCGAACCGCAAGCUACCAACCUUCAAUUUGGGACCAUGAU